AUAGCAAUCUUUCAUGGAGAGAAACCUUAGUCUCAGUAUGAUCACUGUGUCAUUAACCCACUGCCUGCUUCUUUGCUUGGUUGUUGCAGCAGCAGCAGCAGCAAGCAGCAAUAUUACCACAGACCAACAAGCUCUUCUUGCCCUGAAAGAUCAUAUAAUUUAUGAUCCGACCAACCUUUUAGCCAAUAAUUGGACCUCGAAUAACUCUGUUUGUACCUGGAUUGGCAUCACUUGUGAUGUCAAUAGCCACAGAGUCACAGCCUUAGAUAUUUCUCAAUUCAAUCUACAAGGCACCAUCCCUCCUCAACUUGGAAACCUCUCUUCACUCACAACACUAAAUCUUAGUCAUAACAAGCUUUCUGGAAGCGUUCCCUCCCCCAUCUACACCAUGCAUACGCUAAAAUUUCUUGACUUCACCGAUAACCAGCUCUCUGGUUCAGUGUCUUCCUUCGUCUUCAACAUGUCUUCAAUAGUAGAAAUUCGUUUGACCAAUAACAGAUUUUCUGGUGUGCUUCCGAAAAAUAUUUGCAACUAUCUUCCUUAUUUGAAAGCCCUUUUCUUAAACAAAAACAUGUUUCAUGGCAAAAUUCCUUCUGCUUUAUCAAAGUGCAAAACUCUGCAAAUAUUAUUGUUACACUUCAAUAAUUUAUCCGGUGCAAUACCAAAAGAAAUCGGCAACUUGACUAUGCUCAAAGGCAUAUAUCUCGAAUACAACAAACUCCACGGUAUGUUCAUAAUACUAUGUAAAUGUUUUAAUUUCUCACUUGUUAUUUUUCUUGAAUACUUUAGAUAAGAUCUAGUAAGUGAGAUUUUUUGGAUCUGUGUUAAUUUGCCAGGUGAGAUACCCCACGAAAUCGCUAAUCUUCCAAAUCUAGAGGCUUUAGUGCUUGGAAUGAACAACCUAGUUGGUGUGUUACCAGCUCCAAUCUUCAACAUGUCAACACUGAAGGUACUUAUCCUCAUAAAUAACUCUCUCUCCGGAAGUCUCCCAUCAAGAAUAGACCUUUCACUUCCAACUAUGGAGCAUCUUAACUUGGCACUUAAUAGAUUUUCUGGAACCAUUCCUAGUUCCAUCACCAAUGCUUCUAAGCUCACCUUUAUAGAGUUGAGAGGAAACACAUUUUCGGGGUUUAUUCCAGACACAAUUGGUAAUUUAAGAAACCUUGAGUGGCUCAACUUGGCUAAUAACUCCUUGACAUCUUCAACCUCAAAAUUGAGCUUUCUUUCCUCUUUGGCAAAUUGCAAGAAAUUAAGAGUCAUAGGCUUAACAGGCAAUCCACUUGACGGCUUCCUUCCAAGUUCAAUAGGUAAUCUUUCUGUGUCUUUGGAAAUACUUUUCAUCGCCAAUUGCAGUAUUAGUGGCAACAUUCCUCAAUCAAUUAGCAAUUUAAGCAACUUGAUGAUCUUAGCAUUAGAAGGAAAUAAAUUGACUGGACCAAUUCCAAUUACAUUCGGCCGACUGCAGAAACUCCAAGGCUUACAUCUUCAAAUCAAUAAGUUGGUAGGUUCAUUCCCAGAUGAGCUUUGCCAUCUAGGUAGGCUGGCUGAAUUGGCCUUAUUGGACAAUAGGCUUUCAGGAUCUAUACCUUCUUGUGUAAGUAAUCUCACUUCUCUAAGAUCUCUCUAUUUAGGGUCCAAUAAGUUUACUUCUGUUAUUCCCUCAACCUUCUGGAGGCUAAAAGACAUCUUGUUCUUUGACUUUUCAUCAAAUUUCUUGGUUGGUCCUCUUUCUUUAGAUAUAGGAAAUUUGAAGGUGCUUCUAGGAAUAAGUUUAUCAAAAAAUAAUUUAUCCGGUGAUAUCCCAGCCACAAUUGGAGGACUGAAAGAUCUUCAAUUUAUGGACCUAGCAUAUAAUAGAUUGGAAGACCCAAUUCCCAAAUCAUUUGGUGACUUGACAAGUUUGGAGUUUUUGAAUCUGUCAAAUAAUAAAAUCUCUGGGUCUAUUCCAACAUCCAUGGAGAAACUCUUUUACCUCCGAGAGUUAAAUCUCUCUUUCAAUAAACUAGAAGGUGAGAUUCCUAGUGGAGGAAUUUUUGCCAACUUCACAGCUGAGUCAUUUAUGGGAAAUGAGUUAUUGUGUGGUUUACCAAAUCUUCAAGUCCAACCAUGCAAAAUUAGCAAGCCGAGGACAGAACAUAAAUCAAGGAAAAAGAUACUGCUCAUUGUGAUUGUUUUGCCAUUGAGUAUUGCUCUAACGAUAGCAAUCACUCUAGUUCUCAAAUAUAAGCUGAUCGAAUUUGGAAAAAGAAGCACAGUGUUAUCAAAUGAUAGUAUCUUGUCAUCACAAGCAACACUAAGAAGAUUUUCAUACUUAGAACUUUUACAAGCAACAGAUAAUUUUGCUGAAAACAACAUAAUUGGCAUAGGAGGUUUUGGUUCUGUUUAUAGAGCAAGACUUGAAGAUGGGAUGAAGAUUGCAAUAAAAGUGUUUCACCAGCAAUGUGCAAGCGCAUUGAAGAGUUUUGAGGCUGAAUGUGAAGUGUUAAAAAAUAUUCGCCAUCGAAAUCUUAUCAAAGUUAUCAGCAGUUAUUCAAACAAUGACUUCAAAGCAUUAGUCCUAGAAUACAUGUCCAACGGGAGCUUGGGGGAUUGGUUGCAUUCCAGCAAUUAUAUGCUUAAUAUAUUUCAAAGGUUGAACAUAAUGAUUGACGUUGCAUCAGCUUUAGAAUAUCUCCACUUCGAUCAUUUACCUCCUAUUAUUCAUUGUGACUUAAAGCCUAGUAAUGUAUUGUUGGACGAAAAUAUGGUUGCUCAUUUGAGUGAUUUUGGCAUUGCAAAGCUUUUAAGUGGAGAGGAUGAGUAUGUGAUGCGAACAAAAACCCUUGCCACUAUAGGUUAUAUGGCACCAGGUUUGCUUCAAACAACUUUUUUUUAGUUCAUUUUAAAUUUUCCAACUUAUUGAUUUUUACAAUCCUCACAUCAAAAUGUUAUUGAUUAUUUAUCUAAUUGUGAAAUUAAUUUGAUUCAUAGAGUAUGGCAUAGAAGGAGAAGUAUCUACAAAAAGUGAUGUGUACAGCUAUGGGAUUAUGUUAAUGGAAACUUUUACCAAGAAAAAACCCACAGAUGAAAUUUUUGUUGGAGAAUUGAGCUUAAAGCGUUGGGUUAAUGACUUGCUUCCUACUUCAUUAGUGGAAGUUGUGGACAAAACUCUGCUAAGUGGAGAGGAAAAACUUUCUGCAGCAAAGGAGCAAUGUCUGUUGUCUAUCUUUAGCUUGGCUCUGGAGUGUACAAUGGAAUCACCGGGAAAGAGGAUUAAUGCAAAAGAUAUUGUUACAGGAUUACUCAAGAUAAGAGACACAUUGAGUAAAAGGAUAGGAAACUUAAGUUAAUUUCGUUUGCUUUCAUUGAUAGUUAAUUCAAAUUCAUGUAAUAAGUGUAAGAAUCUUAUAUGCUUUCCUUAGAUUUUUUUUUGUUUGAGAAAACUGUUGUAUUCAUCUUGUUUCCAUGGGCAGAGUUGAUUUAGUUCUUCCAAGAAAUGCUACUGAUGACCUUUGUUUUAUACUUUCGCUUUUUUUUGCAUGUGUUUCGGUAGAAUAGUGGUUUGGCUCACUCAAAGAAGUCAAACUGCACUAAAAGAAUAUGAUUUAAUUUAUUAAACAAAACUUCAAGUUCAAGAAAAGUAUCUCACUGCCCCCAAUGCUUUGGACACCUAUUGGUAGGUUUGUACGUGUCCUCAACUUUUUUUUAGAGCACAAAAUUCGAGUCCCAUGGAGACUCAAACAUUCCUUUUCCGCAUCCCGAGCGUGCUAAAUUCAUCAGACUGACAAUUGGGACAUAUAGAAGAGUGAAAUGUUUGGAGCACGCUAAGUUCGAGCGAAAGAGAUUAAUUUACAGAAACUAAAGCCAAGAGAAUAAAGGACAACACUUAUGUGAAGCGACAUAAUUGUAUUGAUAGCACAAUGUCAAAUUCAUACAGAGAUCUAGUAUACUAUUUACAGCCGGUAAGGGCUAAGAAUUGAUGUAGCUAGAAUACAAAGACGAUAAGGUAUGUUGUGCACUAUUGUUUUAUUCUACGAUCAAUCUUGACCCUUGAUGCUUGGCUCUCAAUCUUGUCCAUUGAUCUUCUUUGAUUUUGUACACUUCAAGACCUUUCAGUAUCAUUCCUUGUUGUUGGUGUCUUCCGUGCUGUAGAAUUCAUAUACAAGCCUUCCCGCCGACUUGCGAAGUAUUCGUUCAUUGAUGCAUUUUAUCAAACAGCUGGGCUACUUAUACCAAACACCGCGUGGUUUAACUCCCCCUCUCUAGCUUAACUAUCUGGGAAGGCAAUUAAUUGAGAUAUGAAUUAGAAAAUUAAAUUUUAAAAAUUAUAUUCGGACUCUACAUUUUGUAAUGAACAUUGGUUUGACUUGUUAUACAUUUACGCGUACAUAAUUAAUAACCGAUUCUCAAGUGCGGACAUUCAAGAGCACUGCUUAAAGACCAAAUAUUUUGAUUUACUAUUUUUUGUCUUUCAAUUUUCUUUUACGUUCUGAUGACGUCCGCAUUUUAAAAUCCUGUGGAACAAAGGUCGAAUUGUAGAGGGUAAGCAAACAUUUAUCCGAAUUAUAUUAUGAUAAAUCCUUUUCCAAUUAGAAUUAGGAAACCAUAGAUAUACUGAUUUUUUUUGUUUAAAUGAUUUUGUGAUUUACUUGAUUGAUUGAGUGAUUGAAUAUUGUUUGAUUGCUUCAUAUCAAUUCUAGAAAGUUUAUUUCUUUGUGAAAUUUCAACGAAAUAUGUUUUUUAAAAUAAUAAAGGUGUUUUAAGUAAUUUUAAAAAAUAAAUGGACUAAUUAGAAUUAAUUAUUAAGUAAUUAACUCGAACUGUAGAGGAUAAGCAAACAUUUAUCCUAAUUAUAUUACGAUAAAUCAUUUUCCAACUAGAAUUAGGAAACCAUAGAUAUGCUGAUUUUGUUUUUUUAAUUUCUCUUUGCGAAAACGGAUUAGAGAACUAGAAAACAAUCCUAGUGAGACUAUUGUUAGGUUUAAAACACUGCAUAGAUGGUAAAAACAUGCGUGGUGAAUAUUUUGUCGCAUGCAAACUUUUUGUUUUAUGCAAAUCGUGCUGAACAUUGGGACUGAUGUUUAAGAAAAAAAUUCUGUAGUUAAAGAAAAACAAAAAAAUUCUGAUGUUUAUGCAAAAAUAGAUUACGAUAGUUUAUUCAAUUGGGAGUUUUUUUUUCUUUAAUUUUUGUUGUACUUGAUUGAGAUUUCUCCUUAGUCCUUACCGUCUUAAGUUUGGAUACCGUAGGAUUAGUAAUUUCGUACUUCCUUUGCAAGCUGAAUAUAAGGAUGAAAUUUUUUUAAGAAAUUAAAAAAAAAAGAUUAAAAAAAGGGCAUACCAGUAGGCAAUUAUAAAUUAACCACAAAUAAAUAUAAACAAAAUGUUUAUGAAGUAAAUUAAACAUGCACAUAUUAUUUUCUUUUAUUUUCUGCUUGGAAACCCAUAAAUACACUAAUCCAGUACUACUAAUUUCAGACCGAAAAAUUUGAACUCUAGGCUGCAGUUUGACUCAAAAUGAUGAUCACUGGCUUCGCACCAUUUAACCGGUAUACAUUUCUACAAACUGAACAAGGCUAUUGAUUAUUAUUAUUAUUAUUAUUUUAAUUUGUUUAUAAAUUACUAUUUUAAUUUUCACUUUUUAUUGGGUUGUUUAACGGAUUAGUGAAGUUGGUGGUCGUUGAUGCACUCACAAGGUACAAUUUUAUUUUAUAAUUUCAAAUUCGUAUUUUAAAAUGCAGGCACAUUAUGUAUACAUAAUUAUUGAUUUUCAUAUGUGGGUGUUUUGAAAUAUUGCCAAAAGACCAAACUUUAAUAAACUAUUUUUGAUCUUUUUUUUCCUUUUUAGCUAAAGUUUGAGUGAUAUCCGCAUUUUAAAUUCAUGUGGAACAAAAGCUAAUGUAUGCACAAAAUUCUUUUAUUUUUUCCGAGAAAAAUGGGUAAGAGAAGAAGAUUUUUCUCUUGAAAAAAGAAAAACCAAUACGAUGCAAGCAUAGGAAAGAGUUCAGUGUUUUGGAUUUGAAUUUAGUAUUGAGCUGAAUUUUAUGCUAAGCUCUUUUAUAGUACUGCUAAUAAUAAGCUCAGGAUUUGCUUUUGCUUUUACGUCAAGUAAAAGAAAGAGGAAACCUUUUGUUUUCUGUUUGAUUUUUGACUAUAUAUGUUACCUAUAUAGAGAGUUGAGGUAGCUGCCUUAAGUGAUGGUGAUAAAAAGAUUAAGCAACGCACACAAUCUUACUGUUGUCCAGACCAUCCAGUGAUGCUCUAGUUUUUUGGUUACAUUAGCUUUAGUGGAAAGAAGGGUCAAUUUAACAAAGACUAGAUUUGGUGGCUUACUAUAAUGCUUAUUCUCAGGGAAUCUAAUGUUAUAAGAUGAUUGAAUGAUCUUCUAUGAUUGUGUGUAGUACAAUAUAAUUGAAAGGAACCUGGGCUCCUAUGAUGAAUAACAGCAACACAUUACUAUGAUUGAGAAAACUCAGUUACAAUAAACUCUUCAUUUAUUCAUUGCUGAGAUUGAAUGGCAAACAGAGAAUAGAAUGAAGCAGAGGAAUCUCAUUGCCGGUAAAAUUGACCAUAUUUAAUGUUACUUGCAGUUUUUAUUGUAAAAUAUAUAGGUAUUGUCAAAGCCGGUGGUGGCCUAGCCAAAAUCAAAUUGGCUUUGGCAGCCGCCCAAAGAAAUAAACAAAAGAGAAAUAGAAGAAAAAGAGAUGAGGGAGAUGCCGCCUAAAGAAAUGAAGCACACGGCUUUGACUUGUUCUAAAAAAAAAAAAAGAGCCAAAAUUUUUUGCUAUAUAAAGUGGGCUUCCCACCCUCAUUUUUGCAUUCCAUUUAAGAGAGAGCAAUCUAGUAUUUUUUGAGAGAGAGUUUUGAGAGCUUGAAAUUAUAAGCUUUUGUUAUAGAAAUUUGAGAGUUUGGGUGUAUUGGGGUUUUGGGAAGUGGGCUAAAAUACUACAAUACUUGUAAUUUCUUUUUACUAAUAAAAUAUUUCCUUCUGUCUUCGCCCGUGGACGUAGGCUAAAAGCCGAACCACGUAAUUUCUAAUAUUCUCUUUUGUGAUUGUUUUUUAUUCUUCUUCCAAUUUUAUUUUAGCUGCAGUCCUGCUUCACCCACCAAUUUCCUAAUAGUGGUAUCAGAGCUAUUGGUUGUAUUUUUUGGAGUCGGGUACUAUUCACGUAAGGGUACUAUUCACAUAUAUGGUAUUGUUCACGUAUACGAUACUAUUCACGUGAAAUGGUGAGAGCGAUCCAAGAAUUUGGCGGUGCAAAAGUAGGGAAUAGUGGUGUGAGUAAAACAACUGUGUGGUUUUGUACAUGUCUAGGAAAGUUCUGUCAUAAAGACGAUAAGAGCUUAAGGAGUCUGGGUUUUAAGUGGGACCAUUGUGACCCCUCCAGUCUUUCUUGGAAACUUUCCUGGUGUGCAUAUUCACACAUACUCACAACUAUUUAAGGUGAUACACUAGUUUGUGUACAAUAUUUAUUAACAAAAUGGCGGCAAAGUAUGAAAUUAAGAAAUUUAACGGAAAUAAUUUUUCGUUGUGGAAAAUAAAGAUGAAAGCUGUAUUGAGGAAAAAUAAUUGCUUGGCAGCAAUUAGAGAAAGGCCUAUGGAGAUAACUGAUGACAAGUGGAACGAGAUAGAUGGCAACGCCAUUUCUGAUUUACACUUGGCGCAUGCAGACAGAGUAUUAUCCAGUCUGGCAGAGAAAAAUACAGCAAAGGAAAUAUGAGAUACACUCACAAAAUUGUACGAGGCCAAGUCACUACACAACAAAAUCUUCUUGAAGAGGAAACUCUAUACUCUUCGAAUGACGGAAUCUACAAUGGUGACUGACUACAUCAACAUCUUGAAAACUCUAUUUUCACAACUCACAGUGUUGGGUUAUAAUAUAGAGGAGAAUGAACGUGCAGAGCUUCUACUUCAAAGUCUACCAGAUUCGUAUGAUCAACUCAUCAUCAACCUGACAAACAACAAUCCAGCGGACAGUCUAGUUUUCGAUUAUGUUGCAGCCUCCGUAUUAAAUGAGGAGAGCAGGCGGAAAAAUAAGGAAAACAGCAAGCAAGUUCGCAUCAAGCGGAGACGCUAUUGGUGACGAGAGGGAGAUCAACGGAACGUGGCCCCAGUGAGAGUCAAAAUCAUGGUAGAUCAAAAUCUAGAAGUAAGAAGAAUGUUAAAUGCUACAAUUGUAGCAAGAAAGGGCACGUCAAGAAAGAAUGUUGGAGUAAUUAGAAGAGAAAAGAGGGCAAAGAACCUGAGUCAUCAAAUGCUCAGGGUUGUGUAGCAAGUACCUCGGAUGAUGGCGAAAUUCUCUACAGCGAGGCAACAACUGUUUCAGAAGGCAGAAAACGACUAUAUGAUGUUUGACUUAUAGACUCAGGAGCUACCUGGCACAUGACCUCUCGGAGAGAAUGGUUCCACACAUAUGAACCUAUCUUAGGAAGAUCUGUAUAUAUGGGUAAUGAUCAGGCCUUGGAGAUCACUAGUAUUGGUACUAUCAAAAUAAAAAUGUUUAAUGGUAUAAUUCGCACAAUUGGGGAGGUACGACAUGUCAACGGCUCUAAGAAAAAUCUUUUGUCUUUGGGACAAAUGGAUAGUCAUGGGUACAAAACUCAUGUGGAGAAUGGAAUUAUGAAGAUCGUUAAAGGCGCGCUUGUAUUGAUGAAGGCAGAAAAGAUCAAUGCUAAUCUAUUCAUGCUUAAAGGAGAAACACUACAGGAGGCUGAUGCGUGUGUUGCAUCAAAUGAAGAAGAGUCAACGAUGAUGUGGCAUCUCAAACUUGGCAACAUGUCGGAACAAGGUUUGAAGAUUCUCUCUAAGCAAAAAUUGCUUCCGGGGCUCAAAUCGGUAAAUUUACCAUUUUGCGAGCAUUGUGUUACAAGUAAGCAGCAUAGAUUAAAAUUCAAUAGAUCUAUUGCUAGAAGUAAAUGCAUUCUAGACUUGAUUCAUUCUAAUAUUUGAGAAUCACCGAAUAUAUCCAUAGGAGGUGCAAAAUACAUGGUGACUUUCAUUGAUGAUUAAUCCAGAAGAUGUUGGGUGUAUCCAAUUAAGAAAAAGUCAGAUGUAUUUUCAGUGUUUAAAGAAUACAAAGCGUGGGUGGAACUUGAAUCUGGUAAAAGGAUAAAGUGCUUGAGGAUAGAUAAUGGUGGAGAGUAUACAAAUGGCGAGUUUCUUGCUUUCUGUAAACAAGAAGGUAUCCAAAGGCAUUUCACGGUGGCAUACACUCCUCAAUAAAAUGGAGUGGCGGAGCGGAUAAACAGAACUCUUACAGAAAGAAUAAGAGCUAUGUUGAGGACUGCUAGUCUACCCAAUUUAUUCUGGGCAGAAGUAGCCAAAACUGCUUGUUAUAUAGUAAAUAGGUCGCCAUCUACAGCCAUUGGGCUGAAGACCGCGAUGGAGAUGUGGACUGGAAAGCCAGCUGAUUAUUCCUACCUACAUGCAUUUGGAUGUUCUAUGUACGUGAUGUACAAUGCCAAAAAAAAAACAAAGCUGAGUCCAAAAUCUAGAAAAUGUAUCUUCUUGGGGUAUGCUGAUGGAGUAAAGAGGUAUCGUCUAUGGGACCCCACUGCCCACAAGAUUGUCAUCAGCAGAGAUGUUAUGUUUAUAGAAGAUCAACUGCAAAGGAAAGAUAAGGAUUAUAGCAGUGUAAAAGAAAAGUCAAAGACUAUACUGGUAUAUGUGGAAAAUAAUCCAGAAGAUUCAGAUUCUUCUGAAGCAGCACCAGAGCACGAGGAAUGAGAACCAGUCGAGUCUGGGGCUCCAGAAGUUCGUCGGUCAACUCGUGAGAGAUGAUCGCCAACGUGGCACUCGGAGUAUGUCAUAGAGAUCAAUGUUGCAUACUAUCUUCUAAUAGAAGAUGGAGAGCCUUCAACUUUCUAUGAAGCUUUAAACAGCUCAGAUGUUGCUUUGUGGAUGACAGCAAUGCAGGAAGAAAUUGAAGCUCUACAUAAGAACAAGACAUGGGAACUUGUACCACUACUACACGGAAGAAAAGCCAUUGGAAACAAAUAGGUCUACAAGAUCAAGCGUAAUGGCAAUGACCAAGUGGAGCGGUUUCGUGCAAGAUUGGUAGUGAAAUGAUAUGCUCAAAAAGAAGGUAUUGACUUCAAUAAGAUAUUUUCGCCGAUAGUUCGACUCACAACAGUCAGAAUAAUCUUGGCAAUGUGUGCUACAUUUGACCUACAUCUAGAGCAGUUAGAUGUGAAAACUGCAUUUCUUCAUGAAGAACUUGAAGAAGAAAUAUAUGUGCUCCAACCAGAAGGUUUUAUAGAAACAGGAAAGGAAAACUUGGUUUGCAGGUUGAACAAAUCUCUAUAUGGUCUCAAACAGGCGUCGAGGUGUUGGUAUAAGAGAUUCGAUUCCUUCAUCAUGAGCCUUGGAUACAACAGAGUAAGUUCAGACCAUUGUACAUAUUAAAAAAGGUUUGAAGAUAAUGAUUUUAUUAUUUUAUUGUUGUACGUGGAUGACAUGUUGGUAGCAGGCCCCAACAAAGAUCGAGUCCAAGCAUUGAAGGCACAGUUGGCUAGGGAGUUUGAAAUGAAGGAUUUGGGACCAGCAAACAAGAUUCUAGGGAUGCAAAUUCACCGAGACAGAAAUAGCAGGAAGAUUUGGCUUUCGCAGAAGAAUUACUUGAAGAAAAUCUUGCAGCGCUUCAACAUGCAAGAUUGUAAGUCAAUUUCUACCCCACUUCCUGUUAAUUUCAAAUUAUCCUCAAGUAUGUGUCCUAGCAAUGAAGGAGAGAGGAAGGAGAUAUCUCGAGUACCGUAUGCAUCAGCAGUUGGAAGUUUGAUGUUUGCUAUGAUAUGUACAAGACCAGACAUUGCACAAGCAGUGGGAGCAGUCAGUCGAUACAUGGCCAAUCCCGGUGGAGAGCAUUGGAUAGCUGUGAAGAAGAUUCUGAGAUACAUCAGACGAACCUCAGAUGUUGCAUUAUGUUAUGGAGGAUCAGAGUUUACUGUCAGGGGCUAUGUGGAUUCAGAUUUUGUAGGAGACCUUGAGAAAAGAAAAUCUACUACUAGUUAUGUGUUCACACUUGCGGUAGCAGCUGUAAGCUAGGUUUCGAAACUGCAGACCGUUGUGGCUUUAUCUACAACAGAAGCAGAAUACAUGGCAGCUACACAAGCUUGCAAGGAAGCUAUUUGGACACAAAGAUUAUUGGAGGAGCAUGGGCACAAACAACAGAAAAUUCAUGUGUUUUGUGACAGUCAGAGUGCCUUGCACAUUGCAAGGAAUCCAGUCCUUCAUUCCAGGACAAAGCACAUAGGAGUUCAGUAUAACGCCGUUCGAGAAAUAGUGGAAGACGGAAAUGUGGAUUUACAGAAAAUCCAUACGAAGGAGAACCGAGCAGAUGUUUUGACCAAGCCGAUAAAUACUGAUAAGUUUGUUUGGAGUAGAUCCUCUUGUGGCCUAGCAGAAACGUAGGCAAUAUGAUUAUGGCGAAGCAGAAAAGAUGGUGUGGAGAUUGAUUGAUUUUCAGUCAAAUCUCCAAGUGGGAGAAAUAUCAAAGCCGGUGGUAGCCUAGCCAAAAUCAAAUUGGCUUUGGCAACCACCCAAAGAAAUAAACAUGGCUUUGGCAGCCACCUAAAGAAAUAAACAAAAGAGAAACAGAAGAAAAAGAGAUGAGGGAGGUGCCGCCCAAAGAAAUGAAGCACACGGCUUUGACUUGUUCUAAAAAAAAAAAAAAGAGCCAAAAUUUUUUUCUAUAUAAAGAGGGCUUCCCACCCUCAUUUUUGCAUUCUAUUUAAGAGAGAACAAUCUAGUAUUUUUUGAGAGAAAGAGUUUAGAGAGCUUGAAAUUAUAAGCUCUUGUUAUAGAAAUUUGAUAGUUUGGGUGUAUUGGGGUUUUGGGAAGUGGGCUAAAAUAUUACAAUACUUGUAACUCCUUUUACUAGUAAAAUAUUUCCUUCUGUCUUCGCCCGUGGAUGUAGGCUAAAAGCCGAACCACGUAAUUUCUGAUAUUCUCUUUUGUGCUUGUUCUUUAUUUUUUUUCCAAUUUUAUUUUAGCUGCAGUCCUGCUUCACCUACCAAUUUUCAAAAAGGUAUGACCAUGGUCAUUGCAGUUAGGUUUUGAUGAUUUCAGAUGCUUUUUUAAAAAAAAAUUGUGACUGACGAUUACAAUCAUUACAGCAAUGCUGAUGAGUGAUACAUCACUUGAAAUUUACUUGUCAGUUGCUGAAAUGAUGAAAAAAGACCAUAAACAAUAAGAUUAAUAAUGUUCUCUUGCUGAAUUCUAAUUUUGACUUUCAACUCUUGGUUUUUAUGGAAAGUAAAAUGACUUGUAUAUUGUUUAGAAACUCGAAUCUAACCAGUAACAAACUCGAAUCUAUCAUUAUCUAAACAAAAAACCAAGAGUUUCUAACCAGUAACAAACAAAGCAAUCUUAGUCUUUCAUGGAGCGGAACCUUAGUCUCAGUAUGAUCACUGUCUCAUUAACCCACUGCCUGCUUCUUUGCUUGGUUGUUGCAGCAACAGCAGCAGCAAGCAACAAUAUUAUCACAUACCAACAAGCUCUUCUUGCCCUGAAAGAUCAUAUCACUUAUGAUCCAACCAACCUUUUUGCCCAUAAUUGAACCUCGAAUACCUCUGUUUGUACCUGGAUUGGCAUCACUUGUGAUGUCAAUAGCCAUAGAGUCACAACCUUAGAUAUUUCUCAAUUCAAUCUACAAGGCACCAUCCCUCAACUUGGAAACCUCUCUUCACUCACAACACUUAAUUUUAGUCAUAAUAAGCUUUCUGGAAACGUUCCCUCCUCCAUCUACACCAUGCAUACGCUAAAAUUAUUAUAAGUGAAUAUGAAAUAGUUCACUCAAAGCAAGGAUAAAUGGAUGAAAGUACUACUCAUUUUAUUCACAAUGAGGUUGCCUUUUAUAGGCGUUACAUGAACAAACUUAAUGAAAUAAUAGCAGCUAUUAUUCAGCAAAUACUGCAGCCACUUUCCAGUAACUAUAGCCUAAAGACUAGGUAAACACAAUCUUGCAAAUAACAUUACCAACAAACUUCCUAAAGACUAGGACCAUAAAAGCAACUUAUUGACAUAAGGAAAUUCCAACAAUCCCUCCCUUAAACUAAAUGUUAUUAACAUUCAGUUUAAACAUUCUGCAGAAUCUUCCUCAAAUUGCAAUUUGCAAACUCCAAGUGACUUUCUCAACUUAAAAAAACUAGCCAAUUUGAGGGGUUUAGUAAAGAUGUCAGCAACUUGGUCUUCACUCUUGCAAUAAACAAGAUCAAUGACUUCAUUUUUUGUCAAGUCUCACAAGAAAUGAUAUCUCACAUCUAUGUGCUUGCAUCUUCCAUGUAGAACCGGAUUCUUUGAAAGUUUAAUUGUUGAACUAUUAUCACAGAAGAUUUGUGUUGACUUUGGUUGCUUAAACUGAAGUUCAUGAAGAAUAUUUCUUAGCCAAAGUGCUUGACAUGCACAAGAAGCUGCUGCAACAAACUCAGCUUCAGUUGUUGACAAAGUAACUAUCGGUUGCUUCUUAGAUGACCAUGAAAUAGCUGCUGAACCAAACAUAAAUACAUAUCCAGAUGUGCUUCUUCUGUCAUCCAAAUCUCCAGCAUAAUCAGUGUCUAUAAAGCCAUACAAAUUUGAUUUUUUACCCUUUUUAUAGAACAACCCAAAUUCAGCUGUACCACGCAAGUAUCGAAGAAUUCUUUUUGCAGCUAAAAGAUGAUCCUCUCUUGGACGCUCCAUAUAUCUGCUGAUGGAACUAACUGCAUGCAUUAUAUCAGGUCGAGUUGCCGUUAAGUACAUCAAGCUUCCAACAAUCUGUUUGUAAAGGGUACUAUCAAGCAGGAUCCUUAACAAACUUCAAUCCUUUUUCAAUUGGAGUAGUGACAGAGUUGCAGUUCUUCAUUUGAAAUCUUUCUAAGAUCUCUUUCACAUAUUUCUUUUGACAAAUAAAAUUUCCAGCAUCAGAUUGUAUGACUUCUAAGCCAAGAAAAUAAUGCAGCAAACCAACAUCAGUCAUAUCAAAUUCAAGCAUCAUGGAUUCCUUGAAUUUCUCAAACAUUACUCUGUCAUUUCCCGUGUAAAUCAAAUCAUCUACAUAUAAACAUACCAUAAGCAUUUUCCCAUCAUCUCCAAUUUUUAUGUACAGAGUAUGCUCAUAUGGGCAUUUUCGAAAACCUUCCUCCAAGAAAUAAGCAUCUAUAUGACUAUACCAAGCUCGGGGUGCUUGUUUUAGUCCAUAUAGAGCUUUUUUCAAUUUAUAGACUUUAUGCUCACUGCCUAAUUUCACAUAUCUAGGAGGUUGUUCGAUAAAUACCUCUUCUUGUAGCUCCCUAUGCAAGAAUGCUGAUUUCACGUCCAGUUGAAAAACAGGCCAUGAAUUUUGUGCUGCAAGAGCAAUAAUCAAUCUGAUCGUUUCAAGUCUUGCAACGAGAGAAAAUACUUCUUUAUAAUCCGCGCCGAACUCUUGCUUGUAGCCUUUGGCGACUAGGAGUGCCUUGUAUUUAUCAAUUUCACCAUUUUCCUUCAAUUUUGUCUUGUAAACCCACUUGACUCCUAUUGUCCUCUGCCCCAUUGGAAGUUCAGUCAACUCCCAAGUAUUAUUUUUUUCAAUGGAUGCAAUUUCUUCGUCCAUGGAUUUUAGCCAUUUUUGUUCUUUGACAGCUUCUUUAAAAGUUGUAGGAUCACAUUCUGAAAACAAGGCAAAGUGUAUGAGUGGAUUCUCAAGAGUGUUAAAUCUUGUUACCUCAUAAUCUGACAUCCAUGCAGGCCUUCUUCUAUCACGUUGAGAACGUGAAUCUGUAGCUUCAACUUGUUCAUUAAGUUCAUUUGUUGCUGGUGGAGUUUCUACUGAGACUCUAUUUUGCGGCAGGUCAGGAGCAGAGACUGUUGAAGGCUGAAGUUGCUGUGAAUUUUCUUCAAUUUCACCAUCGAAAUCUGCUGGAAUUUGCUGCCCAAUAGAACUGCAUCUCCACAUCCAUGUCUUCUCUUCAUAAAAAAUGACAUCACGACUAAUGACAAUUUUCUUGAUGAUGGGAUCAUAUAAUUUGUAGGCCUUUGAAUGAUCACUAACACUAAGAAAACUGCACUUUACACCUUUGUCAUCUAAUUUUCUUCUUUUCUCAUCUGGUAUGUGGACAUAUGCUAUACAUCCAAAUACCCGAAAGUGAUCUACUGCCGGCUUACAUCCACUCCAUGCUUCUUCAGGAGUUAUAUUUUGAACAGCUAUUGUGGGGCUUCUGUUCAAAAUAUAAACACUCCAAACAACUGCUUCAGGCCAAAAACUUUUGGGAAGACCACUCCUCCGCAGAAGGCUUCGUACCAUAUUAAGAAUUGUACGAUUUUUCCUCUCGCAUACACCAUUUUGCUGAGGUGUGUAGGCUGUUGUCAAUUGUCUUCUAAUUCCAUGAUUUUUGCAAAAGCUUCCAAAUUCUUGAGAGUUGAACUCUCCACCACGAUCAGUACGCAAUAUUUUAAUUUGGCUGUCAGCUUCUCUUUCAACUAAUGCUUUAAACAUUUAAAAGGCUGUGAAAACUUCCGAUUUUUCUUGCAAGAAAUAAACCCAGGUUUUUCAACUAAAAUCAUCAAUAAUUGAGAUAAAAUAUCGUUUACCUCCAUUUGAUGUUGGCUUGAUUGGCCCACAUAAGUCUGAAUGCACUAGCUCCAGCACUUUCUUUGCCCUCCGGGAUUUUCCUUUUGGAAAAUUAUCUCGAUGUUGCUUACUGACAAUACACUCUUCGCAAAGCUGUGAAGGUUGCUCAAAUUUCUAGACUUCACGGAUAACCAGCUCUCUGGUUCAGUGUCUUCCUUCGUCUUCAACAUGUCUUCAAUAUUAGACAUUCGUUUGACUAAUAACAGACUCUGGUGAGCUUCCGAAAAAUAUUUGCAACUAUAUUCCUUAUUUGAAAGCCCUUUCUUUAGACAAAAACAUGUUUCAUGGCAAAAUUCCUUAUGCUUUAUCAAAGUGCAAACAACUGCAACAAUUAAAUUUGCAGUUCAAUAAUUUAUCCGGUGCAAUACCGAAAGAAAUCGGCAACUUGACUAUGCUCAAAGGGAUAUAUCUCGGCUACAACAAACUCCACGGUAUGCUCAUAAUACUAUACAAAUAUUAUCUUUCUUGAAUACUUUAGAUAAGAUCUUGUAUGUGAGAUUUUUUUGCAUCUAUAUUAAUUUUCCAGGUGAGAUACCGCACGAAAUCGCUAAUCUUCGAAAUCUAGAGGCUUUAGCGCUUGGAAUGAACAACCUAGUUGGUGUGGUAUCAGCUCCAAUAUUCAACAUGUCAACAUUGAAGAUAAUUAUCCUCAUAAAUAACUCCCUCUUCGGAAGUCUUCCAUCAAGAAUAGGCCUUUCACUUCCAACUGUUGAGCAUCUUAACUUGGAACUUAAUAGAUUUUCUGGAACCAUUCCUAGUUCCAUCACCAAUGCUUCUAAGCUCACCCUUCUAAAGUUGGGAGGAAACACAUUUUCGGGCCUUAUUCCGGACACAAUUGGUAAUUUAAGAAACCUUGAGUGGCUCGGCUUGGCUUAUAACAACUUGACAUCUUCAACCUCAAAAUUGAGCUUUCUUUCCUCUUUGGCAAAUUGCAUGAAAUUAAGAUCCUUAAACUUAAUAGGCAAUCCACUUGACGGCUUCCUUCCAAGUUCAAUAGGUAAUCUUUCUAUGUCCUUGGAAACACUUCUCAUCACCAAUUGCAGUAUUAGUGGCAACAUUCCUCAAGCAAUUUCAACCAAAUAUCUUUUUCAAAAUAAUUAGGGUGUUUUAAGCAAUUUGAAAAAUAAAUGGAGUAAUUAAAAUUAUUUAGUAGGUAAUUAACUUGAACGGUAGAGGGUAAGCGAACAUUUAUCCCAAUUAUAUUAUGAGAAAUCCUUUUCCGAUUAGAAUUAGGAAACCGAGGUAUACUGAUUUUUUUGUUUUUUUAAUUUCCCUAUGCGAAAACGGAUUAGAGAAUAAGAAAACAAUCCUAGUGAUAUUAUUGUUAGGUUUAAAACACUGCAUAGAUAGUAAAAAGCGAACUAGUCUGUAGAGUAAUUUGUUAAUUGCUAUCGCCUCUCCAUGCAUGGUGAAUAAUUUGUUGCAUGCAAACUUUUUAUGUAUAAGAAAAAAAUUCUGUAGUUUAAGAAAAACAAAAAGGCAUGUUGAAUAGAUUACAAUAGUUUAAGGAAAAAAAUUAUUCAAUUGGGAAUUUUUUUUUCUUUAAUUUUUGUUGUACUUGAUUGAGAUUUCUCCUUAUUCCUUACAGUUUUAAGUUUGGAUACCGUAGGAUUAGUAAUUUCGUACUUCCUUUGCAAGCUGAGUAUAAGGAAGAAAUUCUUUUAAGAAAUUAAAAAAGAUAAAAAAAAGGCAUACCAGUAGGCAAUUAUAAAUAACCACAAAUAAAUAUAAACAAAAUGUUUAUGAAGUAAAUUAAACAUGCACAUAUUAUUUUCUUUUAUUUUCUGCUUGGAAACCCAUAAAUACACUAAUCCAGUACUACUAAUUUCAAACAGAAAAAUUUGAACUCUGGGCUGCAGUUUGACUCAAAAUGAUGAUCACUGGCUUCGCACCAUUUAACCGGUAUACAUUUCUACAAACUGAACAAGGCUAUUGAUUAUUAUUAUUAUUUUAAUUUGUUUAUAAAUUACUACUUUAAUUUUCACUUUUUAUUGGGUUGUUUAACGGAUUGGUGAAGUUGGUGGUCGUUGAUGCACUCACAAUGUACAAUUUUAUUUUAUAAUUUCAAAUUGGUAUUUUAAAAUGCAGGUACAUUGUGUAUACAUAAUUAUUGAUUUUCGAAUGAGGGUGUUUUGAAAUAUUGCUAAAAGACCAAACUUUAAUAAACUAUUUUUGAUCUUUUUUUUCUUCCUAAAGUUUGGGUGAUAUGCGCAUUUUAAAUUCAUGUGUAACAAAAGUUAAUGUAUGUAUAAAAAUUCUUUUAUUUUACUGAGCAAAAUAGGCAAGCGAAAAAGUUUUGGCAAAUGAGUUGCAACUGAAUUCAAAACCAAUACAAUGCGAGCAUAGGAAAGAGGUCAGUGUUCAGGAUUUGAAUUUAGUAUUAAGCUGAAUUUUAUGGUAAGCUCUUUUAUAGUACUGUAAUUAGUAAGCUAAGCCCCGGAUUUGCUUUUGCUUUUGCUUUUACUUCAAGUGAAAGAAAGAGGAAACCUUUUGUUUUUUCUUUGGUUUUCAACUAUGUUACCUAUACAGAGAGUCAAGAUACCUGCCAUAAGUGAUGGUGUUAAAAAGAUUAAGCAGAGCACACAAUCUUACUGUCGUCUAGACCAUCCAGUGAUGACUCUAGUCUUUUGGUUACGUUAGUUUUAGUUGAAAGAAGGGCCAAUUUAACAAAGACUAGAUUUGAUGGCUCACUAUGUUUAAUGUAAUGCUAAUUCUCAGGGAAUCUAAUGUUAUAACUUAUAAGAUGAUCUCCUAUGUUGAAUAACAGUAACACAUUACUGUGAUUGAGAGAACACAGUUACAAUAAACUCUUCCUUUACUCAUUGCGGAGAUUUAAUAGCAAACAGAGAAUAGAAUGAAGCAGAGGAAUCUCAUUGCCAGUAAAAUUGACCCUCUUUAUUAUUAUAUGGCACAGGUGUGGAGGAAGAACAAGUUACUUGCAGUUUUUAUUGUAAAAUAUACAGGUAUGACCAUGAUCAUUAUAGUUAGGUUUUGAUGAUUUCAGAUGCUUUUUUUUUUUAAAAAAAAAUUGUGACAUCUUUGAUUUACGGUAGUUUUGCAGAAAAAAAUAUCUAAAAAUUAAGAGGGAUGAGUUAACUGACGAUUACAAUCAUUACAACAAUGCUGAUGAGUGAUACAUCACUUGAAAUUUACUUGUCAGUUGCUGAAAUGAUGGAAAAAAACAAUAAACGAUAACAAUAAUAAUGUUCCCUUGCUGAAAUUCAAUUUUGACUUUCGACUCUUGGCUUUUAUGGAAAGUAAAAUGACUUGUACAUUAUACUCAUACAAUCCACUCUACAUAAUGAUAUCAUUUUAAUAAGGCAAUGGCUGAUGAUCUCCAUUGAAAAACUACUUCAAUUUUUUUGCUUUAUUUAACUUUUUGGUUGUUGAAAAUAACCUUAAUUAUCAAAUAUUUGGAGAAAGACAAAGGGUGCUUGCAGAAGUGGCAAUAUAUAUAUAUAUAUAAAAGGAGAAGUUGAAGAGAAAGGGUGCUUGCAGAAGUGGGUGUCAAAGAUAAAUCGGUCCAUAAGAAUUAUUACGGUUAUUUUUUGGCAAUAUAAAAAUUUUUUAGCAAAUAAAAAUUAAUUUUUUUCCAAUUUACUAAAAAAUUAAUUAAAAACUUCUGCGAUGGCAUUUUUUAUGGGUGCAUAUACCCUCCCUUUAAAAGAAAAAAUAAUAAUUAAUACUUAAUAUAGUAUUAAAUACGAAAAUAUCAAUAUUUGACUACUCAAAUUUAUAUCAAUAGGUCCUUAAAAUUUAAAAUUGAAGAUACAAGAGGAAAUAUAUAUAAAUUUAAUUCUCAUCGGAAAGGAUCCUCUUAUAAUUUUAUAUAUUUGAGCUUUGAAAGAUUUUUUGAAACAAAUGUACUUUUAUUUAUGUACAAUCAAUAUUUACUUAUUCAUUAUAUAUUUAUUUACUAACUAUCAAUCAUGUUAAUAUAUUUAGUCAGAAAAAUCAUAUCAAGAAAAAAUCAUGAUCCCACGCACAGAUAAAUACGUUAAUUUCUAUACUAUUCACUUACCUGUGUAAUCAAUUAUCUAAAAUGCAAGUUUGUGGCUACGGAAAACUCUCCAAAGAAAGAAGAUAAUAACAAUUGAGCAUUGAUAGCAAAACUAAUGCAUCAUUUUCUUCUUGACUUGAUGAGAUGACGCCAUGAUGUAAAAACAAGUACCUAAAUUGACCGGCAUUGAGUGAUGUGAAUACUACCAGCCGGUUCAUCUCUUCCAGUCUUGCUUAGUUACAAUCACAAACACCACGAGAUCGACAUUUGCAUUAUAUAUAUCUUCAGCAGUCGAAACACCUUGCAUUACCAAUAAACCAGUAACAAACAAAGCAAUCUUUCAUGGAGAGAAACCUUAGUCUCAGUAUGAUCACUGUGUCAUUAACCCACUGCCUGCUUCUUUGCUUGGUUGUUGCAGCAGCAGCAGCAGCAAGCAGCAAUAUUCCCACAGACCAACAAGCUCUUCUUGCCCUGAAAGAUCAUAUAAUUUAUGAUCCGACCAACCUUUUAGCCCAUAAUUGGACCUCGAAUACCUCUGUUUGUACCUGGAUUGGCAUCACUUGUGAUGUCAAUAGCCAUAGAGUCACAACCUUAGAUAUUUCUCAAUUCAAUCUACAAGGCACCAUCCCUCCUCAACUUGGAAACCUCUCUUCACUCACAACACUUAAUCUUAGUCAUAAUAAGCUUUCUGGAAGCAUUCCCCCUCCAUCUACACCAUGCAUACGCUAAAAUUUCUAGACUCCACUGAUAACCAGCUCUCUGGUUCAGUGUCUUCCUUCGUCUUCAACAUGACUUCAAUAUUCGACAUUCGUUUGACCAAUAACAGACUUUCCGGUGAGCUUCCGAAAAAUAUUUGCAAUUACCUUCCUCAUUUGAAAGCCCUUUUUUUGGACAAAAACAUGUUUCAUGGAAAAAUUCCUUCUGCUUUAUCAAAGUGCAAACAACUGCAACAAUUAAAUUUGCAUUCCAAUAAUUUAUCCGGGGCAAUACCAAAAGAAAUCGGCAACUUGACUAUGCUCAAAGGGAUAGACCUCGGCUACAACAAACUCCACGGUAUGUUCAUAAUACUAUCUAAAUAUUUUAAUUUAUCACUUGUUAAUUUUCUUGAAUACCUUAGAUAAGAUCUUGUAAGUGAGAUUUUUUGCAUCUAUGUUAAUUUACCAGGUGAGAUACCACACGAAAUCGCUAAUCUUCGAAAUCUAGAGGCUUUAGUGCUUGGAAUGAACAACCUAGUUGGUAUGGUAUCAGCUACAAUCUUCAACAUGUCAACAGUGAAGGUGAUUAUCCUCAUAAAUAACUCUCUCUCUGGAAGUCUUCCAUCAAGAAUGGACCUUUCACUUCCAACUAUUGAGCAUCUUAACUUGGCACUUAAUAGAUUUUCUGGAACCAUUCCUAGUUCUAUCACCAAUGCUUCUAAGCUCACCUUUCUAGAGUUGGGAGGAAACACAUUUUCGGGCUUUAUUCCAAACACAUUUGGUAAUUUAAGAAACCUUGAGCUGCUCGACUUGGCUAAUAACUACUUGACAUCUUCAACCUCAAAAUUGAGCUUCCUUUCCUCUUUGGCAAAUUGCAAGAAAUUAAGAACCUUAAGAUUAAGUGGCAAUCCACUUGACGGCGUCCUUCCAAGUUCAAUAGGAAAUCUUUCUAAGUCUUUGGAAACACUUGUCAUCGUCAAUUGCAGUAUUAGUGGCAACAUUCCUCGAGCAAUUGGCAAUUUAAGCAACUUGUUGGCCUUAGUAUUAGAAGCCAAUAAAUUGACUGGACCAAUUCCAAUUACAUUCGGCCGACUACAGAAACUCCAAGGCUUAGAUCUUGCAUUCAAUAAGUUGGUAGGUUCAUUCCCAGAUGAGCUUUGCCAUCUAGCUAGGCUGGCUGAAUUGGUCUUAUUUGGCAAUAAGCUUUCAGGAUCUAUACCUUCAUGCCUAAGUAAUCUCACUUCUCUAAGAUCUCUCUACUUAGGGUCCAAUAGGUUUACUUCUGUUAUUCCCUCAACUUUCUGGAGCCUAAAAGACAUCUUGUUCUUUGACUUUUCAUCAAAUUUCUUGGUUGGUCCUCUUUCUUUAGACAUAGGAAAUUUGAAGGUGCUUGUAAGAAUAAAUUUAUCAAAAAAUAACUUAUCCGGUGAUAUCCCAGCCACAAUUGGAGGACUGAAAGAUCUUCAAUUUAUGGACGUAGCAUAUAAUAGAUUGGAAGGCCCAAUUCCUGAAUCAUUUGGUGACUUGACAAGUUUGGAGGUUUUGAAUUUGUCAAAAAAUAAAAUCUCUGGGUCUAUUCCAACAUCCAUGGAGAAACUCUUUUACCUCCGAGAGUUAAAUCUCUCUUUCAAUGAACUAGAAGGUGAGAUUCCCAGUGGAGGAAUUUUUGCCAACUUCACAGCUGAGUCAUUUAUGGGAAAUGAGUUAUUGUGUGGUUUACCAAGUCUUCAAGUCCAACCAUGCAAAGUUAGCAAGCCGAGGACAGAACAUAAAUCAAGGAAAAAGAUACUUCUCAUUGUGAUUGUUUUGCCAUUGAGUAUUGCUCUAACAAUAGCAAUCACACUAGCUCUCAAAUCUAAGCUGAUCGAAUGUGGAAAAAGAAGCACAGUGUUGUCAAAUGAUAGUGUCUUGUCAUCACAAGCAACACUAAGAAGAUUUUCAUACUUAGAACUUUUACAAGCAACAGAUAAUUUUGCUGAAAACAACGUAAUUGGCAUUGGAGGUUUUGGUUCUGUUUAUAGAGCAAGACUUGAAGAUGGGAUGAAGAUUGCAAUAAAAGUGUUUCACCAGCAAUGUGCAAGCGCAUUGAAGAGUUUUGAGGCUGAAUGUGAAGUGUUAAAAAAUAUUCGCCAUCGAAAUCUUCUCAAAGUUAUCAGCAGUUAUUCAAACAAUGACUUCAAAGCAUUAGUCCUAGAAUACAUGUCCAACGGGAGCUUGGGGGAUUGGCUGCAUUCUAGCAAUUAUAUGCUGAAUAUAUUUCAAAGGUUGAACAUAAUGAUUGACGUUGCAUCAGCUUUAGAAUAUCUCCACUUCGAUCAUUCAACUCCUAUCAUUCACUGUGACUUAAAGCCUAGUAAUGUAUUGUUGGACGAAAAUAUGGUUGCUCAUUUGAGUGAUUUUGGCAUAGCAAAGCUUUUAAGUGGAGAGGAUGAGUAUUUGAUGCGAACAAAAACCCUUGCCACUAUAGGUUAUAUGGCACCAGGUUUGCUUCAAACAAUUGUUUUUUUUUAAGUUCAUUUUAAAUUUUCCAAAUCAUUGAUUUUUACGAUCCUCACAUCAAAAUUUUCUUGAUUAUUUAUCUAAUUGUGAAAUUAAUUUUAUUCAUAGAGUACGGCAUAGAAGGAGAAGUAUCUACAAAAAGUGAUGUUUACAGCUAUGGGAUUAUGUUGAUGGAAACUUUUACUAAGAAAAACCCCACAGAUGAAAUUUUUGUUGGAGAAUUGAGCUUAAAGCGUUGGGUUAAUGACUUGCUUCCUACUUCAUUAGUGGAAGUUGUGGACAAAACUCUGCUAAGUGGAGAGGAAAAACAUUCUGCAGUAAAGGAGCAAUGUCUGUUGUCUAUCUUUAGUUUGGCUCUGGAGUGUACAAUGGAAUCACCGGAAAAGAGGAUUAAUGCAAAAGAUGUUGUUACCAGAUUACUCAAGAUAAGAGACACAUUGAGUAAAAGGAUAGGAAACUGAAGUUAAUUUCGUUUGCUUUCAUUGAUAGUUAAUUCAAAUUCAUGUAAUAAGUGUAAGAAUCUUAUAUCCUUUCCUUUGAUUUUUUUUUUUUUUUGAGAAAACUGUUGUAGUCAUCUUGUUUCACUGCCCCCAAUGCUUUGGACACCUACUGGUAGGUUUGUACGUGUCCUCAACUUUUUUUAGGAGCACAAAAUUCGAGUCCCAUGGAGACUCAAACAUUCCUUUCCCACAUCCCGAGCACGCUAAGUUCGAGUGAAAGAGAUUAAUUUACGGAAACUAAAGCCAAGAGAAUAAAGGACAACACUUAUGUGAAGCGACAUAAAUGUAUUGAUAGCACAAUGUCAAAUUCAUACAGAGAUCUAGUAUACUAUUUACAGCCGGUAAGGGCUAAGAAUUGAUGUAGCUAGAAUACAAAGACGAUAAGGUAUGUUGUGCACUAUUGUUUUAUUCUACGAUCAAUCUUGACCCUUGAUGCUUGGCUCUCAAUCUUGUCCAUUGAUCUUCUUUGAUUUUGUACACUUCAAGACCUUUCAGUAUCAUUCCUUGUUGUUGGUGUCUUCCGUGCUGUAGAAUUCAUAUACAAGCCUUCCCGCCGACUUGCGAAGUAUUCGUUCAUUGAUGCAUUUUUAUCAAACAGUUGGCCGACUUGCCAAGUAUCAUGCCUUGUUAUAGGUAGGCUUGGUAGGAUUAUGGGUCGGUCGGUAGAUGUACAUGUGUUAAAGCUUUUGAAUUUAUGCCAAUUGAAAAUAAAAAAGAAUCUACAUAAAUUUUCAACGAGGCUAUUACCACAAUAAGCAUUUGGAUGAAUUAUUAUUGAAUCCUUUCUGAGAAGUAGGACAUGUCAGACAUCAAAGCACUGAGAUAUCUUCAAAUAGUGGUAACCCCCACGCAACAAGGCACAAUAAAUUAUACAGAUAAAAUCCUUCACUCUUUCGUAAUCAUCAGUGUAGGCACGGUGAUGCGUCAGACAGAUAUGGGUCGGAUCCACUCCAGCUCCAUAUCAAGAUUCAUAAACCAUGACAAAAAUAGAGAAUCAUAGGUGUUGCAGAUAGUGAUGGUUGUUGAUGCACUCGUGAUUUAAAAUUUUAUUUUAUAUCUUCAAGUUCGCAUUUUAAGUGUCCUUUUUUUUAAUUUUUUAUUGUGAUCAUUAUAACUUGUCAAAUCUAUUUUUAAAUAAUUUUUUAAAAAUAUUUUAUUAACAAUGAUAUGAAAAUAUUCGAACACCUUUUCAUAGUAAAGUGAAUUAUUAUCCGACGAUCCAACUCAUGUUUUCAAAUUGUAAAUUGCAAAUCGUGUGUUUGCUCCAUUACAGAGUUUCAUCAAUUUGAAAUAGAGAAUCAUUUGUGUUCUAGAUUAAUCGAGGGUCUAUAUCCAAAUCUAAAAAUUGACUAACUUGGUUUCUAUUAAAUUCUUAAUCCUAACAAGAAAAAUAGAAGAUUAAAAAUGACUAAUUUGGUUUCUAUUAAUUUGAGUAACGAUCGAAUUACCUAAUUUAUUAAGAUUUAUCAAAAUCCUAUGUCAAAAUCCAUUAAUGAUAUAGGUUCAAUGACGAAAUAGUCACUUGUUAUUAUUUUUGACUUCAUAAAUAGAUGAACGGAUGUUAUUUUUGGAUUCUGGAGAAUCGAAAAUAUCAGGAUAGGUGAUAAAUGGAAUUAAGUUGUAGAUAAGAUAGAAAUGGAUUUGGAGAGAGAUUGGAAUCCUGGGUAAUCCGGAGUACGUUGUUGUGUUGAAUGCUCGUUGACUUCACGUUGACUGAAACAUUAUUGGAAGAAGUGAGCAAGCUUAUUUUCUUCUCUCAUUUUUUAAAUUUGUCUUAAGUUUAUUGAUGUGAGGCCUUUGAGAUUGUAAGUUUCAAAUCUGAGAAGAAUAACCACACACCCAUUAUCCUAUUACUCUUAUUUUAUCACAUGAAGAGAAUUCGAAGUUUGAUAAAUUUGUGAGGAUUGUGAGGGUUGAUGCAAUAUAAUUUAGAUGCAAAGUGUUUACAAGUACGAUGCUUCAUAAGUGUUCUUGAAUCAUUAUAAACUCACGUUAUUUUUAUAAUGAUUGUUUCAUCUGCACAUGGAUAUAAUCAUAUGUUGAGAUUUUUUCCUAAAUUAUGGUCUUAUUUGGUAUUGAGGUGUUAGAUCUUUUAAGUUACAAUUACUAUUGGAAAAAAAAGUGCAACUAUGAAAUAAAAGUUAAUAUUGUGUACUAAAUAUAAUUGUUAAAUAAUAAUUUUGACAAAAUUAGUGAAGAUAUAUAGGUUUUUUUUUAAUCAUCUAAGUGUAAAAUCAAAUCAACUUAACUUCUAAACUAUAUAGCAGCUACUGUUUACCAAAUACUUUAGUACUGUAACUUUUAAGUUAUAGCUGCCUAACCUCAGUCUCAAACAAUGGCUAUAAAGAUCAAAGAUUUCCUCAUAAAAAUUAUACGUCUUGUGAUUGCUUAUUUAAUUUAUAUUUUUUUAUUUAUCUUUAUUAAUUACAGUCAUCUUUUAAUAAAUUACAAUUGCAGGAAGUUGAUGUUCGAAGUGCUUAUGUCGACUCAAAGUUGUUGGGAAUUAAUGCAUGUAUUGAUUUAUUGGGAGUGUUUAAAUGAUUUUGUGAUUUACUUGAUUGAUUGAUUGAAUAAUGUUUGAUUGCUUCAUAUCCGUUCUAGAAAGUUUAUUUCUUUGUGAAAUUUCAAUGAAAUAUGUUUUUUUAAAUUAUAAGGGUUUUUUAAGUAAUUUUAAAAAUAAAUGAACUAAUAAGGAUUAAUUAUUAGGUAAUUAACUUGAACUAUACAGGGUAAGCGAACAUGUAUCCUAAUUAUAUCAUGAUAAAUCCUUUUCCGAUCAGAAUUAGGAAACCAUAAGUAUAUUGAUUUUUUUUUCCAAUUCUCCUUUGCGAAAACGGAUUACAGAAUUAGAAAACAAUCCUAAUGAUAUUAUUGUUAGGUUUAAAACACUGCAUAGAUAGUAAAAAGCUAACUAGUUCGUAGAGUAAUUUGUUAAUUGCUAUCGCCUCUGCCUGCGCGGUGAAUAAUUUGUUGCAUGCAAAUUUUUUAUUUUAUGCAAAUCGUACUGAACAUUGGAAUUGAUGUAUAAGCAAAAAUACAAGAGUAUUUAUGUCAAUACAAAUUUUUUUUUUCCAUUUUAAAUAAACACAACGCGAUGUUUAUCUGCUCCGCGUUUUUGCAAUCUGUUUAUUCGUUGUUUAUUUGCUUCUUAAGGCCUCAAACUUUGAUAACCAAAAAUUUCACCAAACUAUGAAAAAUAUUCUGCAGGUUAGUUUUUAUUUUCGGAAUAAUUAUUUGAGAAUACUAAAACACAAUAUAAAAUAAGAAAAUAGGGGGUUAAAAUUUGAAAAAAAAACAAAAGGGCAUGUUGGAUAGAUUACUGUAGUUUAAGAAAAAAAUUAUUCAGUUGGGAAUUUUUUUUCUUUAAUUUUUGUUUUACUUAAUUGAGAUUUCUCCUUAAUCCUUACAGUUUUAAAUUUGGAUAACAUAGGAUUAGUAAUUUAGUACUUCCUUUGCAAGCCGAGGUUAAUGAUGAAAUUCUUUUAAGAAAAAAGAUAAAAGAGCAUACCAAUAGUCAAUUAUAAAUAACCACAAAUAAAUACAAACAAAAUGUUUAUGAAGUAAAUUAAAAAUGUGCAUAUUAUUUUUUUUUUAUUUCUUACUAAUCUUUGUAUUUGCUGCUUGAAAAACCAUAAAUACACAGAUGACCAUUGGCUUCGCACCAUUUAAUUGGGAUACAUUUCUACGUACAAACUGAACAAGGCUAUUGAUUUUUAUUAUUAUUUUUAUUUAUUUAUAAAUUACUAUUUCAAUUUUCACUUUUUAUUGGGUUGUUUAAUGGAUUAGUGAGGCUGGUGGUCGUUGAUGCACUCACAAGGUACAAUUUUGUUUUCCAAUUUCAAAUUCGUAUUUUAAAAUGCAGCACAUUAUGUAUACAUAAUUAUUGAUUUUCAUAUGUGGGUGUUUUGAAAUAUUGCUAAAAGACCAAACUUUAAUAAACUAUUUUUGAUCCUUUUUUGUUUCUUUUUUCCUAAAGUUUGAGUGAUAUCCGCAUUUUUAAAAGCUAAUGUAUGCAAAAAAUUCUUUUAUUUUUCUGGGGAAAAUAGGCAAGAGAAAACGUUUUGGCAAAUGAGUUGCAACUGAAUUCAAAACCAAUACGAUGCGAGCAUAGGAAAGAGGUCAGUGUUUUGGAUUUGAAUUUAGUAUUGAGCUGAAUUUUAUGUUUAACACAUGAUUCUAUUAUAGUACUGCGAUUAAUAAGCUCAGCCCCGGAUUUGCUUUUGCUUUUGCUUUUACUUCAAGUGAAAGAAAGAGGAAACCUUUUGUUUUUUCUUUGGUUUUUGACUAUGUUACCUAUACAGAGAGUCAAGAUAUCAGCCAUAAGUGAUGGUGUUAAAAAGAUUAAGCAGCGCACACAAUCUUACUGCUGUCUAGACCAUCCAAUGAUGACUCCAGUCUUUUGGUUACAUUAGCUUUAGUUGAAAUAAGGGCCAAUUUAGCAAACACUAGCUUUGGCGGCUUACUAUGUUUAAUGUAAUGCUUAUUCUCAAGGAAUCUAAUGUUAUAAGAUGAUUGAAUGAUCUUCUAUGAUUGUGAGUAGUAUAGGAUAAUUGAAAAGAGCCUGGCUCCUAUGAUAAAUAACAGUAACACAGUACUGUGAUUGAAAAAGUUCAGUUACAAAAACUUAGUUACAGUAAACUCUUCAUUUAUUCAUUGCGGAGAUUGAAUGGCAAAAAGAGAAUAGAAUGAAGCAGAGGAAUCUCAUUGCCAAUAAAAUUGACCCUCUUUAAUGUUAUAUGGCACAGGUAUGUUUACAUCAAGAACAAGUUACUUACAGUUUUUAUUGUAGUUAAGUUUUGAUGAUUUCAGAUGCUUUUUUUUUUUAAUUGUGACACCUUUGAUUUAUAAUAAUAUUGCAAAUAUAUAUAUAUAUAUAUAUUAGUAGUUUUUUGGUCCGAAAUUUUAAAGUGUGAGAAAGUAUGAGAAAGCUUUAAAACCGCACGGUGUUAAAGGCUUACAGUUUUAAGCAUUUUAAUCCAUGCGGUUUUAAAGUUUUACUGGAUUUUUCCGCACUUUAAAAUUCCAGACUGAAACAUUUCUGUAUAUAUAUACAUAUAAAUAUAUAAAUUAAGAGGGAUGAGUUAACUGAAGAUUAUAAUCAUUACAACAAUGCUGAUGAGUGAUACAUCACUUGAAAUUUACUUAUCAGUUGCUGAAAUGAUGAAAAAAAAACAAUAAACAAUAACAGUGAUAAUGUUCUCUUGCUAAAAUGACUUGUAUAUUAUACAAUCCACUCUACUUAAUGAUAUCGUUUUAAUAAAUGUUUGAUGAUCUCCAUUUAAAAACUACUUCAAUUUUUUUCUUCAUUUAACUUUUUGGUUGUUGAAAAUAACCUUAAUUAUCAAAUAAUUGGAGAAAGAGUAAAGAACAUUUAACAAAUUUAUGUGUAAAAAAAAAAAGGAGAAGUUGAAGAGAAAGGGUGCUUGCAGAAGUAGGUGUCAAAGAUAAAUCGGUCCAUAGGAAUUAUUUGUUGAGAUAUAAUUAAUAAUCUAGUAAAUUGAGCAAGAAGUUUGAAGGGUUAUUUGGUUUGUUUUUCAACAUGAAGUAAAGGGUAGAAUUGAUGUUUGCAAUGUAGCUUUGGAAAUGUAAAGCAUGAUUAAUGUAAUCUCUAGAGUUGUCUAUAAUGCAUAUAAAUAUAGAACUCUGGUUGUAUGAAAAGUAAGAGAGAAACGAAAAAAUGAAUUAAGCAAUAAAGUUUCAGAAAUUUCCAGCAAAAUACUCUGUUCUUAAAUAAAAAUUUUUCUGCACUUCCGCUUGCACCCAACAAAUUUGGUAUCAGAGCUAUUCCAAAACACCCUCAAAAUGACAUCAAACUUCUCCCUGUUUUGAGCUGGAAUAAGAGCAGAAAGCUGUGGGAAAAGGCACUAUUGCUGUCCAUACAAAGGAAGGUACUGAUUUCCUUAUUGUUUGCCUUUAUGUUGAUGCUGCAACAACAAUUUAUUGUGACAACAUGUCAGCCAUUGCUCUAACAAAGAACCCCGUAUUUCAUGCUAAAUCUAAGCACAUUGAGCUGCGUUAUCACUACAUCCGUGACUUAGUAAACAAAGGAGAAGUUAAUAUGGAGUUUAUCAGCACUAAUGAGCAGCCAUCAGAUUUUCUGACCAAAGCAAUCAACAUUGAGAAGUUUGAAAAAUUCAAGAAGCAAUUGAAGAUUACUAAUUAAGAGGGGGUGUUGAGAUAUAAUUAAUAAUCUAGUAAAUUGAGCAAGAAGUUUGAAGGGUUAUUUGGUUUGUUUUUCAACAUGAAGUAAAGGGUAGAAUUGAUGUUUGCAAUGUAGCUUUGGAAAUGUAAAGCAUGAUUAAUGUAAUCUCUAGAGUUGUCUAUAAUGCAUAUAAAUAUAGAACUCUGGUUGUAUGAAAAGUAAGAGAGAAACGAAAAAAUGAAUUAAGCAAUAAAGUUUCAGAAAUUUCCAGCAAAAUACUCUGUUCUUAAAUAAAAAUUUUUCUGCACUUCCGCUUGCACCCAACAUUAUUUUGGUUAUUUUUUAGCAAUAUAAAAAUUUUUUAGCAAGUAAAAAUUAAUUUUUUUCCAAUUUACUAAAAAAUUAACUAAAAACUUCUGCGAUAGCAUUUUUUAUGGGUGCAUAUACCUCCCUUUAAAAAAUAUAUAAUAAUUAAUGCUUAAUAUAGUAUUAAAUACGAAAAUAUCAAUAUUUGACUACUCAAAUUUAUAUCAUUAGGUCCUUAAAAUUUAAAAUUGAAGAUACAAAAGGAAAUAUAUAUAAAUUUCAUUCUCAUGGGAAAGGAUCAUCUUAUAAUCUUAUAAUAUUUGAGUUUUGAAAUAUUUUUUUGAAACAAAUGUACUUUUAUUUGUGUACAAUCAAUAUGUACUUAUUUAUUAUAUUUUUAUUUAUUAACUAUCAAUCAUGUGAGUAUAUUUAGUCAGAAAAAUUAUAUCAAGAGAGAACCCUAAUUUCACGUAAAGACAAAUACAAGACAAAUAUGGCAAUUUCUAUACUAUUCACUUUCCUGUAGAAUCAAUUAUCUAAAAUGCAAGUUUGUGGCUUCAAAAAACUCGCCAAAGAAAGAAGAUAAUUACAAUUGAGCAUUGAUAGCAAAUCUAAUGCAUCCAAUUCUUCUUAACUUGAUGAGUGACGUGAAUACUAGCAGUCUGUAACGCCCAAAUUUUUAUUAUUUUAUUUAUUUUUUAAUGGAAUUUAUAAAUGACAUUUUUGCCCUUAUAAAAACGGUUAUUCAUGGAAUAAUUUUUAGGAAAGGGUUAUUUUUCCAAAUUCAAUAGGGUUUCUUAAGACUCCCUAUAAAUUCAUAUUUUUCUCCUUCCAUAACCCUAAAAGCACGACGUUUCUUCUUCUUCUAUGCUGCUCAUUACGCUCUUACCCAAACCCUAGGAUUCAAACCUUUGGUUAAGAGAGAAUCAAAGCGAUUGGUAAGUUUAUUCCCCUUAUUCUCCACAAGAUUCCCAAUCACUCUAUCUAGGGUUUAUAUUGGCACGAUUUUAGAUUGUUAUAGAUCAUAAUGCAUGAUUUAGAAUGUGUUUAGGCUUUGUUUAGAGUUUUGAUUUAUUAUGAGUUUAGUUAAUCAACCUUGACGUAUUAAGCACAUAGAAUAGUUCCAUAGAAUAUUAUGUUAUUCUGAGUUUUAGAUUAAGAGUUAAAAUUCUGAGCAUCGGACCUGUACGGGUACGAAUUAAAAAAACCAGGUUCUUAGAAUAAGUUAUUAAUUGUCAUAUAUUGUAUUUGUUUAAGGCGUUGGAGGUGAUUGAGGCUCUUAGAGGGUUAGAGGUGUGUUAAUUCAAAUUCUUUUGUCAAGUUAAGUAACUUUAUUCCUAAUGUACUGGAUAUAUAUAUAUGAUUAUUUUGAUAUUAUUAUAAGUAUACGAAUUUUUUUACUACUUAGAAGAUUAAUGGAUUUUCAUAACAAAAUCAGUUUGUGUAAAUGUUUUCAAACCUAAAUUCUUUUUAAUAAAUUAUUUUGUAAAGGCUUUUAAAUAUGUAAGUUAUUUUAUGACAUGACUACCUUUUAUAAUUUUGUCUAUGAAAUAUUUGCAAGCCUAAAUUGUGGUUAUGGACUUUCAUGAAACUGAUACAAAUGUUUUGUACCUAUGUAUGAUUUCAAUUAUUUAUGAUUGUACGGGGGCCACCUCUUGGGACUAUAUGGGGGCCACCUCUUGAAAGCCAAAGCAUCGCAAAGUGCCACAUAUAAGUCAUUAUGUUUUGGCUCAUUGUCCAUAGUUAUUCUGAUUCUGAUUCUGAUCGUAUAAUACGAUAUAUGUCUGUUCUGGACCAGUACUGGGUUUUUGUUUUGAGUGUGCACACGAUAUUCUGAUUCUGUUUUUGGCCGAGUCACCAGGACUAUAGGUGACACUAUGUGACAUGAGCUAACCUUUUGUUUUAUGUGAAUGUGAUAUAUGAUUUGCUUUUGUAAGUAACUAUACUUUUGAUAUUCUGAGUUACAAUGAAUUUAAAUUAUUUUAUAGUGAUAUAUCGUUUUAUGAAAUUUAUGGAUUAUGAUAUAUGUUUUAAUUAAAAGAAGGCUUGCAAUAUUUUUGGUAUCGAUAGGCCUAGUGUGUUAGGAAUAGUUUUACUUACCGAGUUGACGGCUCACCCCUCGUCAUUACUUUUUGCAGAUUAAAUUUCUUUUGAGAGGUGCCCUUAGCUUUGGAGUUAGUAAUUUUCUGUUUCCGUUUGCCAUUUGAAUAAGAUGAGGAAUAGACUCAUGUUUCUAUUUAGUUUAUUUCUGUUAUGGACGUGUAAUUUGGAGUUUGAGACUUUUGUUAUUUUUUUUAUGUCCUCGGGAGAGAUUAUUUAGUAUUAGACGUUUGAAUUUGUGGAUUUAUUCGAAUAAGAAUUUGAGGUAUUUCAGUUUGAAACUUAUGAGUAAAGAUUAUGAUUUGUAAGUAACCUCCUUCUUCACGUGCUCCGCACGUGUUAGAUUUGGGGUGUUACAAUUGUGGUAUCAGAGCAUUAGGUUUGGGAUUCUGUAGACUUUAUUUGAGACUAGAUUUCUUAAGCACAAUCAAUUAGUUCAAUGGUAUUGCUUGCCAUGAGGUUAUCAGAAAGAGUAGAUCUUUAAGGCGAGGAGUAAUUUUGGUCUUUUUGAUUUUCUAGUUGCUUGUGACUUUGUAAUAACUCCUUGAUAUAGGAUUUUGGUAUUAACGUAGAAUGAAAUAUUUGUUUGCUCUUGUUGUCAAUCACUAAUGUUUCUCAGUUAUACUACUUACUCAGUACUUUGCGCACUAGCAAGGCCUUUAACUAUGAAUUAUUUACCGUUUUAUUUAUUUAUUUAUUUUUAUUCUUCGUGUUAUAGUCAAAAGAUGUUGCGUAGGGGAGGUGCUAGGCAUGCCUCUAGCUCGAGAGAUGUUUUAGGAAUCGCUGAUGACGUUGACCCAACCUUGCGUGAGAUGGCUAACGAAGGGAAUCCUAUGAUGCGCGCAAUGGUUAGAUUGAUGGAACAACAAAGUAAGUUGAUUCAAGAUAUGGCUAGAGGUAAAGUUGGGGCACAGGAGAAUGUGCCAGUUGAAAGACAAGGUGGUGGAAGAGAUCAGGGAGGUAUGAUGAGCUUAGAGCGGUUUAGGAAAUUGGGACCACCUACCUUUCAGGGGACUGCCGAUCCUAUGGUUGCAGAGGCAUGGUUAAGACAGAUGGAGAAAAUAUUUAUGGCUAUGGGUUGUAAUGAUGAUCAUAGGGUGAUAUUGGCCUCAUUCGUCCUUUAGGGCGAGGCAGACCACUGGUGGGAUGCCAAAUCCCGUCUUUUGAGGGCCGGGUUACAAGAUGCACCUAUUACUUGGGAGUUAUUUCUGGAGGCUUUUCAUGAAAAAUAUUUUCCUGAACGAGUUCGACAUCAGAUGGAGGUUGACUUCCUGAAAUUGACUCAAGGAACAAAGUUUGUUGCGGAGUAUGAGGAGCAAUUUACUGCUCUAUCUCAUUUUUCUCCUACCUUAGUUGCUAAUGAGGGUAGUAAGUGUAGGAAAUUCUUGGAAGGGUUACAUCCAAACAUCAAAAGACGGUUGACCAUCCUUAAGCUUAAUAAUUAUGCCGAUUUGGUGGAUCGUGCGAUUAUUGCAGAGAGGGAUAUAAUUCAAUCUCAAGUUGCACGAUCUAAUCGACAUAAUAACCAGCCAAUAAAACAUGAUAGUAAUGGUAGCGAAGGUGAACAUAAGGACUCUAAUGGUGGGUCUAUUCAAGAGAACAAACCAUUCUGUAAUCGUUGUGACAAGUACCAUAAUGGCACGUGCUAUUUAAAGAUAGAAGCUUGUUUUGGCUGUGGAAAGAUGGGGCAUAAGGUUAUAGAUUGCCCAAAAAAGCGCAGUGGUAACAUAGAUUCUGCCGAGAACCAAAGGAAAAAGCCAUGUGUCUUCGCCAUGGUGGAGCAAGAUAUUAAGAAACCGAAUAACGAAGCCUCAGGUGCAUUACCUAUUUUCCAUAGAAAGCCUUGAAUUUUUGAGUAAUUGGUAUUGUGCUUUUCCUCCAUCCUUUCUGAUUGGAUGCAUCGUAGCUAGAGUUUUUAGCCUAAUAAUUUCUUUUUUCAUCCAUUGAAUUUCUAUGGUACAUUAGUAGGAUAUGACGUGUGAUUUUAUAAGGCCAUUAGGAUUAACUUAUGGUUGGAUGGAGUAGGGACUAAUAUGAUAUUUAGUAGGAUAUGUGAUGAAGAUUGCAAUAAAAGUGUUUCACCAGCAAUGUGCGAGCGCAUUGAACAGUUUUGAAGUUGAAUGUGAAGUGAUAAAAAAUAUUCGCCAUCGAAACCUUAUCAAUGUUAUUGGCAGUUGUUCGAACGAUGACUUCAAAUCAUUAGUCCUAGAAUACAUGUCCAACGGGAGCUUGGAGGAUUGGCUGCAUUCUAGCAAUUAUGUGCUUAAUAUUUUUCGCAGGUUGAACAUAAUGAUUGACGUUGCAUCAGCUUUAAAAUAUCUCCACUUCGAUCAUUCAACUCGUAUCAUUCAUUGUGACUUAAAGCCUAAUAAUGUGUUGUUGGGUGAAAAUAUGGUUGCUCAUUUGAGUGAUUUUGGCAUAGCAAAGCUUUUAAGUGGAAGAUGAGUCUACGAUGCGAACAAAAACCCUUGCCACUAUAGGUUAUACGGCACCAGGUUUGCUUGAAACAACUUUUUUUUUUAGUUUAUUUUAAAAUUUCCAAAUUAUUGAUUUUUACGAUCCUCAUAUCAAAAUGUUAUUGAUUAUUUAUCUAAUUAUGAAAUAAUUUAAUUCAUAGAGUAUGGCAUAGAAGGAGAAAUAUCUGCAAAAAGUGAUGUUUACAGCUAUGGGAUUAUGUUGAUGGAAACUUUUACCAAGAAAAAACCCACAGAUGAGAUUUUUGUUGGAGAAUUGAGCUUAAAGCGUUGGGUUAAUGACUUGCUUCCUAAUUCAUUAGUGGAAGUUGUGGACAAAAUUCUGAUAAUUGGAGAGGAAAAACAUUUUGCCGCAAAGGAGCAAUGUCUGUUCUCUAUCUUUAUUUUGGCUCUGGAGUGUACAAUGGAAUCACCGGAAAAGAGGAUCAAUACAAAAGAUAUUGUUACCAGAUUACUCAAGAUAAGAGACACAUUGAGUAAAAGGAUAGGAAAUUUAAGUUAAUUUUGUUUGCUUUCAUUGAUAGUUACUUUGAAUUCAUGUAAUAAGUGUAAGAAUCGUUUAUCUUUUCUUUUGAUAUUUUUUUCUUGAGAAAACUGUUGUAGUCAUCUUUUUUCAAUGGGCAGAGUUGAUUUAGUUCUUCCAAGAAAUGCUAUUGUUGAUCUUUGUUAUAUACUUUUGUCUUUUUUUGCAUGCAUUUAGGUAGAAUAGUGGUCUAGCUGCAGGCUAACAAGUCAAGCUACGCUAAAAGGGUAUGAUUUAAUUUAUUAAACCUAACUUCAAGUUCAAGAAUUGUAUCUCAUUGCCACCAAUGCUUUAGACACCUAUUGGUAGGUUUGUGUCCUCAACUUUGUUUAGAGCAAAAGUUCCAGUCCCAUGGAGGCUCAAAUAUUCCUCUCCUACGUCCCGAACACACUAAAUUCAUCAGCCUCUUGAACCCUCUCCUGAGGGCGCCUUCUGUCCUCUGUUUUCUGUUUCCAUACACAAAUAGCAAAAAGAAUUCAGAAUGACAACUGGGACAUAUAUAAGAGUGAAAUAAUUAAAAAAAAUUAUGCUUUUUUGUUUGUCGUGUUAAAAUCGUAAGGUAUCUAAGUACUAUGAAAGAGAUUAGUUUACGAAAACUGAAGCCAAGGGUUCAUAAAAAAGUGCAAAGAGAAUAAAGGACAACGCUUAUGUAAAGCGACAUAAUUGUAUUGGUAGCACAAUGUCACGUUCAUACAGAGAUCAAGUACAUUAUUUACAGCUGGUAAGGGCUAAGAAUUGAUGUAGCUAGAAUACAAAUAUGAUAAGGUAUGUUGUGCACUAUUGUUUUAUUCUACAAUCAAUCUUGACCCUUGAUGCUUGGCUCUCAAUCUUGUCCAUUGAUCUUCUCUGAUCUCGAAAACUUCAAGACCUUUCAAUCUCAUGCCUUAUUAUUGGUAUGUUCUAUGCUGUUAAUUUCAAAUACUAGCUUUUCCGCCAACUUGCCAAUUAUUUGUUCAUUGGUGCGUUCUGUCAAACAGUGUGGAUACUUAUACCAAACGCUUUCUGUUUUAACUCCCCCUUUCAAGCUCAACUAUCUGGGAAGACACUAAUAAGCUUGUUUCUCAAGUAUAUGUAUCUGAAAAUUAAAUUUUCAAAAUUAUAUUCGGACUCUACAUUUUCUAAUGAACAUUGGUUUGGCUCAUAAGCUUAUUAUACUUGGGCUUGGUAGGAUUAUCGGUCGGUAGAUGAACAAGUGUUAGAGCUUUCGAAUUUAUGCCAAUUAAAAAAAAAUCUAUAUAAAUUUUCCACUAGGCUAUUACCACAAUAAACAUUUGGAUGAACUAUUAUUGAAACCUUAUUGAGAAGUAGGACAUGUCGCAUACCAAUGCACUGACAUAUCUUCAAAUAGUGGUAACUCCACACAACAUGGCACAAUAAAUUAGAGUUAUAUAGAUAAAAUCUUUCACUCUUUGGUAAUCAUCAAUGUCGGCAUGGCAAUGCGUCCGACAAAAUUCAUAAAUCAAAACAAAAAUAGAGAAUCAUAUUUGUUUCAGAUUGUAGUGAUGGUUGUUCAUAAUUCACAAUUUUAUUUAAUAUCUUCAAAUUCGCAUUUUAAAAUGCACAAAUGUUUGUGUAUACAUAAUUAGUAAUCGAUUCUCAAGCUUGGACAUUUAAAAGCACUGCUAAAAGACAAAAUUUUAAUUCACUAUUUUUUGUCUUUUAAUUUUCUUUAAGUUUUAAUGAUUCCGCAUUUUAAAAUCCUGUGGAACGUACAUGUAAAAUUCUUUUAUCUUUUAGAGGAAAAUGGGCAAGAGAAGAAGAUUUGGCAAAGGAAUUGCAACCGCAUUUGGAGCUAGUUUUAAUUUUGUCUUUUAAUUCUUUUACACUUGGCUUUUGUUAUUGAUGUCAACUUCGAUGUGUGUGCGUGUGCGACUGAAUUCAACUUACAUGCUAUUGAUGCAGCCACCAAAAAGGGGUGGUCCAUCAUCAAUCAACAAGGUUUAUUAUUAUUUCCAUAUUGAUUUUCUUAAUUAUAAAUAAUACUAAUGUUAUUUCAUAGUUAUAAAUAUAUUAGAAUUAAUCGAAAUCAUUUUUUAGUGUGGCAUGGCUAAAACUACCUUUUUUUUUUAUAAGUAAUUACUACUUUCACAUUAAGAAAAAUACUCCUAUUUUUAAGGAAAAGUCAAGUACCUGUAGUUGUGAAGACUCAAGCUCACUCCCUUAUGAUAAAUCUUCAUAUUAAUUACGUAAAUAUCCUCUAAAAUUUUAAAUUAGCUAUUCAAAAUUUGAUGUUAUACGGGUAUUUCAUUUAUUUGAGUAGGGGUUAGGGGUCAAUUGGAUACAAAUUCAAAAUUAUCCUUACUUGAGAAGGUGAUAAAAAUUGGGGAUUUAGUUUGGAUGUCAUUAGCUACAAAUAUUAAACUCAUACAUUUAAUUCAAAAUUAGAGGGCUGAUAUGUGCGCAUCAUCGUCCACGUUAUAGUGACACUGCGUCACCAUUCCACAACCUCUCCAAUGAAAAAUUGACAUGCUUCUUGUGCGCAUCUAAUCAGAAUCUUGAAAAUUAAUCACAAAAUUGUACUUUUAUUAUAAAAAGAAUAAAGAAACUCCAAGAAAAAAAAAAAGACUUACAUAAAUAGAUUGAAAAAUCUAGAUUUCAAGUUGUCUAUAUUAGCUUGAUAUUUUUAUUAAUAGUCAUCCUCCCAAAAAAAUUCCAUCAAAAUAUAUUUUAAUUUUAUGUUAAUUCAUAAACAUGAAAAAAUCAUUUUAGAAUUAAUUAAAACAUAAUUUAUUGUUGCUCAAAAAAGGUAGAACUUAGUUAUCAGAAAAAAGUGUCUAAAAUAUAUGUUAAAAAAAAAUCAUGGUUGGUUGGACUGAUUGAAUUUUUUUUUUCUUUUUUAAGAAUUAAGACAAUUGGAUGGAUUGAGUAAUAAUAAUACAUAUUUAUUUGGCAAAUGGCAGGGAGGCUUUCGUCUGAUGCAGAUUGAUUAGAGAGAAAAUAUAACAAUUUUAAGCUCGUCAGAUUCGAAGCUGCUUACCUGUCGUGUGGGGAUCACUUCCGUGUCUUAUUUUUCUAGAAAAAUCUGGACCAUUGGAUUUACCAUUAGUCAAUAGAGAAAUGUUGAUCUUGAUUCUUGAUCAAGAUCGAAGUUUGAUUCUAACUAACACGAUAUCAGAUUGCGAAGCAAGCAAAUUGAAAGUCACUUGUUCUAUGGAAGAAACACAAGUUCUAAUAAAACAUUCUCAUAGUAAAGUGAAUUACCAUCCAACGAUCCAACUCAUGUUUUCAAAUUGUAAAUUGCAAAUCGUGUGUUUGCUCCAUUACAGAGUUUCUUCAAUCUGAAAUAGCGAAUCAUUUGUGUUCUAGAUUAAUCGUGGGUCUAUAUCCAAAUCUAAAAAUUGACUAACUUGAUUUCUAUUAAAUUCUUAAUCCUAACAAGAAAAAUUGAAGAUUAAAAACGACUAAUUUGGUACCAUACCACUAUUGUAACAUAGGUAGAUCCUCUAUUAAUUGGAGUAAAGAUUGAAUUAUCUCAUUUAUUAAGGUUUAUCAAAAUCUUGUGUCAAAAUCUAUUAAUGAUAUAGGUUCAAGGAUGAAAAAGUCACUGCAUUACUUUUGAGUUCCCAAAUAGAUGAAUGGAUGUUAUUUUUAGAUUCCGGAGAGUCGAAAAUAUUAAGAUAGGUGCUAAAUCGAAUUAAGUUGUAGAUACGAUAGAAAUGGAUUUGGAGAGAUUGGAAUCCUAGGUAAUCCGGUGCACGUUGUCGUGUUAAAUUCUCGUUGACUUCACGUUGACUGAAGCAUUAUUGGAAGAAACAAGUUUAUUGAUGUGAGGCCUUUGAGGUUGUAAGUGUUAAAUCUGAGAAGAAUACCCACACACCCAUUAUCCUAUUACUCUUAUAUCACAUGAAGAGAAUUCAACAUUUGAUUCACACGGAAAAAAUUUGUGAGGAAUGUGAGGGUUGAUGGAAUAUAAUUUAGAUACAAAGUGUUUACCAGUGCGAUGCUUCGCAAGUGUUCUUGAAUCAAUAUAAACUCACAUUAUUUUCAUAGUGAUUGUUUCAUCUGCACGUUAAUAUAAUCACAUGUCGAGAUUUUUUUCCUUAAAUUAUGGUCUUAUUUAGUAUUGAGGUGUUAUAUCUUUUAAGGUACAAUUAUUGUUGGAAAAAAGUUACAACUAUCAAAUAAAAUUAAUACUAUGUGCUAAAUAUAAUUGUUAAAUAAUAAUUUUGACAAAAUUAGUGAAGUUAUAUAGAUUUUUUUCAUCAUCCAAGUAUAAAAUCAAAUCAACUUAACUUCUAAGUUAUAUAUCGGCUACUGUUUAUCAUAUGUUUUAGUUUUGUAACUUUUAAAUUAUAGUUACCCAACCUCAAUUCUAAACAAGACCUAUAAAGAUCAAAGAUUUCCUCAUUAAAUUAUAUGUCUUGUGAUUGCUUAUUUAAUUUAUAUUUUUGUUAUUUAUCUUUAUUAAUUAUAAUCAUCUUUUUAUAAAUUAAAAUUGAAGGAAGUUGAUUGAUGUUGUUGACACACACACGCACGCGCACGCACACACUCACAAAGAUAUAUUGGAAGUGCUUACGUCGACUCGAAGUUGUUGGGAAUUAAUGCAUGUAUUGAUUUAUUGGGAGUGUUUAAAUGAUUUUGUGAUUUACUUGAUUUAUUGAUUGAAUAUUGUUUGAUUGCUUCAUAUCCAUUCUAGAAAGUUUAUUUCUUUGUGAAAGUUCAACGAAAUAUGUUUUUUUUUUUAAAUAAGGGUGUUCUAAAUAAUUUUAAAAAAUAUAUGCUUGUCUUCCCAAAAUAGCCUUUGAAUACACAAGUAAAUGUCUAGCCUUUGGUGAGGAUAGUUUGGUCAUUGCAUUUUACAAGUAAGAUGAGUGGUGGAGAAAAAUGAGGAGUGCACAUAACUCUUCAGCAAAUCCCACCAACAAUUCCAUUUUCUUAAUUAAUUAAUCUCCUUUUUUAUCCCCAAACAAAUCCUAAUGAUACUAUUAUCAGGUUUAAAACAGUACACAAAUAGUGAAAAGCUAACUAGUCUGUAGAGUAAUUUGCUAAUUGCUAUCUCCUCUCUAUGCUCGCUGAAUAAUUUGUUGCAUGCAAACUUUUUAUUUUAUGCAAAUCAUACGUACUGUAACAUUGGAAUUGAUGUAUAAGCAAAAAUACAAUAAUAUUUAUGUCAAUACAAAUAGUUUUUUUUCCCUUUUUAAAUAAACACAACGCGAUGUUGCUCUGCUCUACAUUUUUGCUAUCUCUUUAUUAUUAUUAUUUUUUUUUGGGCUUCUUAAAGCCUCAAACUUUGAUAACCAAAACUUCAUCGACCUAUGAAAAAAUCUGCAGAUUAGUUUUUAUUAUCGGAAUAAUUGUUUGAGAAUACUAAAACAAAAUAUAAAAUAAGAAAAUACGGGGUUAAAUUUGGGGAAAACAAAAAGGCAUGUUGGAUAGAUUACUAUAGUUUAAGGGGAAAAAAAAAUUCAAUUGGAAAUUUUUUUCUUUAAUUUUUGUUUUACUUGAUUGAGAUUUCUCCUUAGUCCUUACAGUUUUAAGUUUGGAUGCCGUAGGGUUAGUAAUUUAGUAUUUCCCUUGCAAGCUGAGCUUAAGGAUGAAAUUUCUUUUAAGAAAUUAAAAAAGAUUAAAAAAAGCAUACCAAUAGGUAAUUAUAAAUAACCAUAAAUAAACAUAAACAAAAUGUUUAUGAAGUAAAUUACACAUGCACAUAUUAUUUUUUUGUUAUAUUUCUUACUUGUCUAUUUUAUUUGCUGCUUGAUAACCCGUAAAUACUAAUCUAGUACUGCUAAUUUCAGACACAAAAUGUUUAACUCUAGGCUGCAGUUUUACUCAAAAUGAUGACCACUGGCUUCGCACCAUUUAACCGGCAUACAUUUCUACAAAUUGAACAAGGCUAUUGAUUUUCAUUAUUAUUUUUUAUUUAUUUAUAAAUUACUAUUUUAAUUUUCACUUUUUAUUGGGUUGUUUACAGAUUAGUGAAGUUGGUGGUCGUGAUGCACUCACAAGGUACAAUUUUAUUUUAUAAUUUCAAAUUUGUAUUUUAAAAUGCAGGUACAUUAUGUAUACAUAAUUAUUGAUUUUCAUAUGUGGGUGUUUUGAAAUAUUGCUAAAAGACCAAACUUUAAUAAACUAUUUUUUAUCUUUUUUUUUCCUAAAGUUUGAGUGAUAUCCGCAUUUUAAAUUCAUGUGGAACAAAAGCUAAUGUAUGCUCAAAAUUCUUUUAUUUUUUCCGAGAAGAAUGGGUAAGAGAAGAAGAUUUUUCUGUUGAAAAAGAAAAACUAAUACGAUGCAAGCAUAGGAAAGAGGUCAGUGUUUUGGAUUAGAAUUUAGUAUUGAGCUGAAUUUUAUACUAAACUCUUUUAUAGUACUGCGAUUAAUAAACUCAUGAUUUGCUUUUGCUUUUACUUCAAGUGAAAGAAAGAGGAAACCGUUUGAUUUUUGUUUGAUUCUUGACUAUAGAUGUUACCUAUAUAGAGAGUUGAGGUAGCUGCCUUAAGUGAUGGUUAUAAAAAGAUUAAGCAGCGCACACAAUCUUACUGUCGUCCAGACCAUCCAGCUAUGAUGACUCUAGUUUUUUGGUUACAUUAACUUUAGUGGAAAGGAGGGCCAAUUUAACAAAGACUAGAUUUGGUGGCUUACUAUAAUGCUUAUUCUCAGGGAAUCUAAUGUUAUAAGAUGAUUUAAUGAUCUUCUAUGAUUGUGAGUAGUAUAGUAUAAUUGAAAAGAGCUUGGGCUCCUAUGAUGAAUAUUUAAUAGUAACACAGUACUGUUAUUGAAAAAAACACAGUUACAAUAAACUCUUCAUUUAUUCAUUGUGGAGAUUGAAUGGCAAACAGAGAAUAAAAUGAAGCAGAGGAAUCUCAUUGCCAGUAAAAUUGACCCUCUUUAAUGUUAUAUGGCACAGGUGUGUGUACAGCAAGAUCAAGUUACUUGCAGUUUUUAUUGUAAAAUAUAUAGGUUAUGACCAUGAUCAUUGUAGUUAGGUUUUGAUGAUUUUAGAUGCUUUUUUUAUUUUUUUUAAAAUUGUGACACCUUUGAUUUAUGGUAGCUUUGCAGAAGAAAAAUAUAUAUAUAUAAAUUAGGAGGGAUGAGUUAACUAACGAUUGCAAUCAUUACAGUAAUGUUGAUGAGUGAUACAUCAUUUGAAAUUUACUUGUCAGUUACUGAAAUGAUGAAAAAAAACAAUAAACAAUAGCAGUAAUAUUUUUAUGGAAAAUCUUGGUUUUUAUGGAAAUACUCUUGCUGAAAUUCUAAUUUUGACUUUCAACUCUUGGUUUUUAUGGAAAGUAAAAUGACUUGUUUGUUAUAUUCAUACAAUCCACUCUACAUAAUGAUUUCAUUUUAAUAAAUGCUUGAUGAUCUCCACUGAAAAACUACUUCAAUUCUUUUGUUUUAUUUAACUUUUUGGUUGUUGAAAAUAGCCUUAAUUUUCAAAUAAUUGGAGAAAGAGUAAAGAACAUUUAACAAAUUUAUGUGCCAAAAAUAAAGGAGAAAUUGAAGAGAAAGGGUGCUUGCAGAAGUGGGUGCAAAGAUAAAUCAGUCCAUAAGAAUUAUUGUGGUUAUUAAGUUUUUGGCAAUAUAAAAAUUUUUCAGCAAAUAAAAAUUGAUUUUUUCCGAUUUACUAAAAAAUUAAUUAAAAACUUCGGUGAUAGCAUUUUUUAUGGGUGCAUGUACCCUCCCUUUAAAAAAAAUAUAAUAAUUAAUACUUAAUAUAGUAUUAAAUACGAAAAUAUCAAUAUUUGACUACACAAAUUUAUAUCAUUAGGUCCUUAAAAUUUAAAAUUGAAGACACAAAAUGAAAUAUAUAUAAAUUUCAUUCUCACAGGAAAGGAUCCUCUUAUAAUCUUAAAAUAUUUGAGCUUUGAAAGAUUUUUUAAAACAAAUGUACUUUUAUUUUUGUACAAUCAAUAUUUACUUAUUUAUUAUAUUUUUAUUCAUUAACUAUCAAUCAUGUGAGUAUAUUUACUCAGAAAUAUCAUAUCAAGGAAGAAUCUUGAUCCCACGCACACACAAAUAUGUUAAUUUCUAUACGCUUCACUUACCUGUAGAAUCAAUUAUCUAAAAUGCAAGUUUGUGGCCACAAAAAAAGCCAAAGAAAGAAGAUAAUAACAAUUGACUUGUAUAUUAUACUCAUACAAUCCACUCGACAUAAUGAUAUCAUUUUAAUAAGGCAAUGGCUGAUGAUCUCCAUUGAAAAACCAAUUCAAUUUUUUUGCUUCAUUUAACUUUUUGGUUGUUGAAAAUAACCUUAAUUAUCAAAUAAUUGGAGAAAGAGUAAAGAACAUUUAACAAAUUUAUGUGCAAAAAAAAAAAAAAAAAAAGGAGAAGUUGAAGGGAAAGGGUGCUUGCAGAAGUGGGUGUCAAAGAAAAAUCUGUCCAUAAGAAUUAUUGCGGUUAUUUUUUGGCAAUAUAAAAUUUUUAUAGCAAGUAAAAAUUAAUUUUUUCCAAUUUACUAAAAAAUUAACUAAAAACUUCUGCGACAACAUUUUUUAUGGGUGCAUAUACCCGCCCUUUAAAAAAAAAAAUAAUUAAUGCUUAAGUUAGUAUUAAAUACGAAAAUAUCAAUAUUUGACUACUCAAAUUUAUAUCAUUAGGUCCUUAAAAUUUAAAAUUGAAGAUACUAAAGGAAAUAUAUAUAAAUUUCAUUCUCAUGGAAAGGAUUCUCUUAUAAUCUUAUAAUAUUUGAGUUUUGAAAUUUUUUUGAAACAAAUGUAAUUUUAUUUGUGUACAAUCAAUAUUUACUUAUUUAUUAUAUUUUAAUUUAUUAACUAUCAAUCAUGUAAGUAUAUUUAGUCAGAAAAAUUAUAUCGAGAGAGAAUCCUAAUUUCACGCAAACACAAAUACAAGACAAAUAUGUUAAUUUCUAUACUAUUCACUUUCCUGUAGAAUCAAUUAUCUAAAAUGCAAGUUUGUGGCUAUAGAAAACUCGCCAAAGAAAGAAGAUAAUAACAAUUGAGCAUUGAUAGCAAAACUAAUGCAUCAUUUUCUUCUUGACUUGAUGAGAUGGUGCCAUUACAAAACAAUAAUUACCUUAAUUGACGGGCACUGAGUGAUGUGAAUACUACCAGCCAGUUCAUCUCUUCCAGUCUUGCUUAAUCACAAUCACAAACACCACGAGAUUGACAUUUGCAUUAUAUAUAUCUUCAGCAAUCGAAACACCUUGCAUUACCAAAUUAACCGGUAACAAACAAAGCAACCUUUCAUGGAGAGAAACUUUAGUCUCAGUAUGAUCACUGUGUCAUUAACCCACUUCCUGCUUCUUUGCUUGGUUGUUGCAGCAGCAGCAGCAGCAGCAAGCAACAAUAUUACCACAGACCAACAAGCUCUUCUUGCCCUGAAAGAUCAUAUAACUUAUGAUCCAACCAAACUUUUUGCCCAUAAUUGGACCUCGAAUACCUCUGUUUGCACCUGGAUUGGCCUCAGUUGUGAUGUCAAUAGCCAUAGAGUCACAGCCUUAGAUAUUUCUCAAUUCAAUAUACAAGGCACCAUCCCUCCUCAACUUGGAAACCUCUCUUCACUCACAACACUUAAUCUUAGUCGUAAUAAGCUUUCUGGAAGCAUUCCCCCCUCCAUCUACACCAUGCAUACGCUAAAAUUUCUAGACUUCACUGAUAACCUGCUCUCUGGUUCAGUGUCUUCCUCCGUCUUCAACAUGUCUUCAAUAUUAGACAUUCGUUUGACCAAUAACAGACUUUCUGGUGAGCUUCCGAAAAAUAUUUGCAACUAUCUUCCUUACUUGAAAGCCCUUUUUCUGGACAAAAACAAGUUGCAUGGCAAAAUUCCUUCAGCUUUAUCAAAUUGCAAACAACUGCAACAAUUGCAUUUGCAGUUCAAUAAUUUAUCCGGUGCAAUACCGAAAGAAAUCGGCAACUUGACUAUGCUCAAAUGGAUAGAUCUCGGCUACAACAAACUCCACGGUAUGUUUCAUAAUGCUAUCUAAAUAUUUUAAUUUAUCACUUGUUUAUUUUAAUUUCUCACUUGUUAUUUUUCUUGAAUACUUUAGAUAAGAUCUAGUAAGUGAGAUUUUUUGCAUCUAUGUUAAUUUACCAGGUGAGAUACCCCCCGAAAUCGCUAAUCUUCGAAAUCUAGAGGCUUUGGUGCUUGGAAUGAACAACCUAGUGGGUGUGUUACCAGCUACAAUCUUCAACAUGUCAACACUGAAGGUAGUUAUCCUCAUUAAUAACUCUCUCUUCGGAAGUCUCCCAUCAAGAAUAGACCUUUCACUUCCAACUAUUGAGCACCUUAACUUGGCACUUAAUAGAUUUUCUGGAACCAUUCCUAGUUCCAUCACCAAUGCUUCUAAGCUCACCUUUCUAGAGUUGGGAGGAAACACAUUUUCGGGCUUUAUUCCGAACACAAUUGGUAAUUUAAGAAACCUUGAGUGGCUCAGCUUGGGUAAUAACUACUUGACAUCUUCAACCUCAAAAUUGAGCUUUCUUUCCUCUUUGGCAAAUUGCAAGAAAUUAAGAGACAUAGGCUUAACAGGCAAUCCACUCGACGGUAUCCUUCCAAGUUCAAUAGGUAAUCUUUCCAUGUCUUUGAAAACACUUUACAUCGGCAAUUGCAGUAUUAGUGGCAACAUUCCUCAAUCAAUUGGCAAUUUAAGCAACUUAUUGGCCUUAGUAUUAGAAGGCAAUAAAUUGACCGGACCAAUCCCAACUACAUUCGGCCAACUGCAGAAACUCCAAGGCUUAUUUCUUACAUUCAAUAAGUUGGUAGGUUCAUUCCCAGAUGAGCUUUUCCAUCUAGCUAGGCUGGAUAAAUUGGUAUUAUUGGGAAAUAAGCUUUCAGGAUCUAUGCCUUCAUGCUUAAGUAACCUCACUUCUCUGAGAUCUCUCUACUUAGGGUCCAAUAGGUUUACUUCUGUUAUUCCCUCAACUUUCUGGAGCCUAAAAGACAUCUUGUUCUUUGACUUUUCAUCAAAUUUCUUGGUUGGUACUCUUUCUUUCGACAUAGGUAAUUUGAAGGUGCUUCUAGGAAUAAGUUUAUCAGAAAAUAACUUAUCGGGUGAUAUGCCAGCCACAAUUGGAGGGAUAAAAAAACCUUCAAAUUAUGGACCUAGCAUAUAAUAGAUUGGAAGGGCAAAUUCCUGAAUCAUUUGGUGACUUGACAAGUUUGGAGGUUUUGAAUUUGUCAAAUAAUAAAAUCUCUGGGUCUAUUCCAAAAUCCAUGGAGAAACUCUUUUACCUCCGAGAGUUAAAUCUCUCUUUCAAUGAACUAGAAGGUGAGAUUCCUAGUGGAGGAAUUUUUGCCAACUUCACAGCUGAGUCAUUUAUGGGAAAUGAGUUAUUGUGUGGUUUACCAAAUCUUCAAGUCCAACCAUGCAAAGUUAGCAAGCCGAGGACAGAACAUAAAUCAAGGAAAAAGAUACUUCUCAUUGUGAUUGUUUUGCCAUUGAGUAUUGCUCUAACAAUAGCAAUCACUCUACCUCUCAAAUCUAAGCUGAUCGAAUGUGGAAAAAGAAGCACAGUGUUGUCAAAUGAUAGUGUCUUGUCAUCACAAGCAACACUAAGAAGAUUUUCAUACUUAGAACUUUUACAAGCAACAGAUAAUUUUGCUGAAAACAACGUAAUUGGCAUAGGAGGUUUUGGUUCUGUUUACGGUGGAAGACUUGAAGAUGGGAUGAAGAUUGCAAUAAAAGUGUUUCACCAGCAAUGUGCAAGCGCAUUGAAGAGUUUUGAGGCUGAAUGUGAAGUGUUAAAAAAUAUUCGCCAUCGAAACCUUAUUAAAGUUAUCAGCAGUUAUUCAAACAAUGACUUCAAAGCAUUAGUUCUAGAAUACAUGUCCAACGGGAGCUUAGGGGACUGGCUGCAUUCUAGCAAUUAUGUGCUGAAUAUAUUUCAGAGGUUGAACAUAAUGAUUGAUGUUGCAUCAGCUUUAGAACAUCUCCACUUCGAUCAUUCGACUCCUAUUAUUCAUUGUGACUUAAAGCCUAGUAAUGUAUUGUUGGACGGAAAUAUGGUUGCUCAUUUGAGUGAUUUUGGCAUAGCAAAGCUUUUAAGUGGAGAGGAUGAGUCUAUGAUGCGAACAAAAACCCUUGCCACUAUAGGUUAUAUGGCACCAGGUUUGCUUCAAACAACUUUUUUUUUUUAGUUCAUUUUAAAUUUUGCAACUUAUUGAUUUUUACGAUCCUCACAUCAAAAUGUUAUUGAUUAUUUAUCUAAUUUUGAAAUUAAUUUGAUUCAUAGAGUACGGCAUAGAAGGAGAAGUAUCUACAAAAAGUGAUGUUUACAGCUAUGGGAUUAUGUUGAUGGAAACUUUUACCAAGAAAAAACCCACAGAUGAAAUUUUUGUUGGAGAAUUGAGCUUGAAGCGUUGGGUUAAUGACUUGCUUCCUACUUCAUUAGUGGAAGUUGUGGACAAAACUCUGCUAAGUGGAGAGGAAAAACAUUCUGCAGCAAAGGAGCAAUGUCUGUUGUCUAUCUUUAGUUUGGCUCUGGAGUGUACAAUGGAAUCACCGGAAAAGAGGAUUAAUGCAAAAGAUAUUGUUACAAGAUUACUCAAGAUAAGAGACACAUUGAGUAAAAGGAUAGGAAAUUUAAGUUAAUUUCGUUUGCUUUCAUUGAUAGUUAAUUCGAAUUCAUGUAAUAAGUCUAAGAAUCUUAUAUCUUCAAAUUCGCAUUUUAAAAUGCACAAAUGUUUGUGUAUACAUAAUUAGUAAUCGAUUCUCAAGCUUUGGACAUUUAAAAGCACUGCUAAAAGACAAAAUUUUAAUUCACUAUUUUUUUGUCUUUUAAUUUUCUUUAAGUUUUAAUGAUUCCGCAUUUUAAAAUCCUGUGGAACGUGCAUGUAAAAUUCUUUUAUCUUUUAGAGGAAAAUGGGCAAGAGAAGAAGAUUUGGCAAAGGAAUUGCAACCGCAUUUGGAGCUAGUUUUAAUUUUGUCUUUUAAUUCUUUUACACUUGGCUUUUGUUAUUGAUGUUAACUUCGAUGUGUGUGCGUGUGCGACUGAAUUCAACUUACAUGCUAUUGAUGCAGCCACCAAAAAGGGGUGGUCCAUCAUCAAUCAACAAGGUUUAUUAUUAUUAAUUUCCAUAUUGAUUUUCUUAAUUAUAAAUAAUACUAAUGCUAUUUCAUAGUUAUAAAUAUAUUAGAAUUAAUCGAAAUCAUUUUUUAGUGUGGCAUGGCUAAAACUACCUUUUUUUUAUUAUAAGUAAUUACUACUUUCACAUUAAGAAAAAUACUCCUAUUUUUAAGGAAAAGUCAAGUACCUGUAGUUGUGAAGACUCGAGCUCACUCCCUUAUGAUAAAUCUUCAUAUUAAUUACGUAAAUAUCCUCUAAAAUUUUAAAUUAGCUAUUCAAAAUUUGAUGUUAUACGGGUAUUUCAUUUAUUUGAGUAGGGGUUAGGGGUCAAUUGGAUACAAAUUCAAAAUUAUCCUUACUUGAGAAGGUGAUAAAAAUUGGGGAUUUAGUUUGGAUGUCAUUAGCUACAAAUAUUAAACUCAUACAUUUAAUUCAAAAUUAGAGGGCUGAUAUAUGCGCAUCAUCGUCCACGUUAUAGUGACACUGCGUCACCAUUCCACAACCUCUCCAAUGAAAAAUUGACAUGCUUCUUGUGCGCAUCUAAUCAGAAUCUUGAAAAUUAAUCACAAAAUUGUACUUUUAUUAUAAAAAGAAUAAAGAAACUCCAAGAAAAAAAAAAGACUUACAUAAAUAGAUUGAAAAAUCUAGAUUUCAAGUUGUCUAUAUUAGCUUGAUAUUUUUAUUAAUAGUCAUCCUCCCAAAAAAAUUCCAUCAAAAUAUAUUUUAAUUUUAUGUUAAUUCAUAAACUUGAAAAAAUCAUUUUAGAAUUAAUUAAAACAUAAUUUAUUGUUGCUCAAAAAAGGUAGAACUUAGUUAUCAGAAAAAAGUGUCUAAAAUAUAUGUUAAAAAAAAAUCAUGGUUGGUUGGACUGAUUGAAUUUUUUUUUCUUUUUUAAGAAUUAAGACAAUUGGAUGGAUUGAGUAAUAAUAAUACAUAUUUAUUUGGCAAAUGGCAGGGAGGCUUUCGUCUGAUGCAGAUUGAUUAGAGAGAAAAUAUAACAAUUUUAAGCUCGUCAGAUUCGAAGCUGCUUACCUGUCGUGUGGGGAUCACUUCCGUGUCUUAUUUUUCUAGAAAAAUCUGGACCAUUGGAUUUACCAUUAGUCAAUAGAGAAAUGUUGAUCUUGAUUCUUGAUCAAGAUCGAAGUUUGAUUCUAACUAACACGAUAUCAGAUUGCGAAGCAAGCAAAUUGAAAGUCACUUGUUCUAUGGAAGAAACACAAGUUCUAAUAAAACAUUCUCAUAGUAAAGUGAAUUACCAUCCAACGAUCCAACUCAUGUUUUCAAAUUGUAAAUUGCAAAUCGUGUGUUUGCUCCAUUACAGAGUUUCUUCAAUCUGAAAUAGCGAAUCAUUUGUGUUCUAGAUUAAUCGUGGGUCUAUAUCCAAAUCUAAAAAUUGACUAACUUGAUUUCUAUUAAAUUCUUAAUCCUAACAAGAAAAAUUGAAGAUUAAAAACGACUAAUUUGGUACCAUACCACUAUUGUAACAUAGGUAGAUCCUCUAUUAAUUGGAGUAAAGAUUGAAUUAUCUCAUUUAUUAAGGUUUAUCAAAAUCUUGUGUCAAAAUCUAUUAAUGAUAUAGGUUCAAGGAUGAAAAAGUCACUGCAUUACUUUUGAGUUCCCAAAUAGAUGAAUGGAUGUUAUUUUUAGAUUCCGGAGAGUCGAAAAUAUUAAGAUAGGUGCUAAAUCGAAUUAAGUUGUAGAUACGAUAGAAAUGGAUUUGGAGAGAUUGGAAUCCUAGGUAAUCCGGUGCACGUUGUCGUGUUAAAUUCUCGUUGACUUCACGUUGACUGAAGCAUUAUUGGAAGAAACAAGUUUAUUGAUGUGAGGCCUUUGAGGUUGUAAGUGUUAAAUAUGAGAAGAAUACCCACACACCCAUUAUCCUAUUACUCUUAUAUCACAUGAAGAGAAUUCAACAUUUGAUUCACACGGAAAAAAUUUGUGAGGAUUGUGAGGGUUGAUGGAAUAUAAUUUAGAUACAAAGUGUUUUACCAGUGCGAUGCUUCGCAAGUGUUCUUGAAUCAAUAUAAACUCACGUUAUUUUCAUAGUGAUUGUUUCAUGUGCACGUGGAUAUAAUCACAUGUCGAGAUUUUUUUCCUUAAAUUAUGGUCUUAUUUAGUAUUAAGGUGUUAUAUCUUUUAAGGUACAAUUAUUGUUGGAAAAAAGUUGCAUCUAUCAAAUAAAAUUAGUACUAUGUGCUAAAUAUAAUUGUUAAAUAAUAAUUUUGACAAAAUUAGUGAAGUUAUAUAGAUUUUUUUUCAUCAUACAAGCAUAAAAUCAAAUCAACUUAACUUCUAAGUUAUAUAUCGGCUACUUAGGGAUGGCAAUGGAUUGGAUCUGACCCAAGAUCCACGUGAUCCAAAUCUAAUCGGAUCGGAUUUGGGUCAGUUUAAAAUGAAUUUGGAUCGGAUUUGGAUAUUGAUGUGCGGAUCUAAGACGGAUCUGGAGCAGGUCUGGAUCUAUCUUAGUAUCUAAAUCCAUAUCCAUAUCCACCCAUCUUUUAAUUUAAUUUUAUUUUAAAAGUUUCUUAACAAUUGUGGAAUUAUAAUGAUAAUGAAUUUUAUUCAUAGCAUAUUAGUGGUAUUUACCAUGCAUUUAAACUCUUUAAAAUUAAAGGUUAGUUUUGUAAAUUUAAAGACUAGCCAGGCCCAAAGCAUGUACAUGCAAUAUUCAAAUUGCAAGCCAAGUAAUACAACCUGGCAAUUUAUUUUAUUAUAUUGGCCAAAUAAUUUUUAAGGAAUAUAGGUAUUCAUAUAUUUUGUCAAAUAUGGUCAUAAUAAAAAUAAUAAAGGACUGAAUAUAAAUCAUAUUUUAUUUAUAUGUCAUUAUCUAAUAUUAUAAGAAUGAGGGUGGGUGUGUUGUAGAUAUUAGAAUGAUGAAUGAGACAAUAGAAUAUUAGAUUGAUCUUACUCCUGCAAUUACUUUUAAAGGAUAUUUUAUUAUCUUAUUUGUUGUUUUGGUGUAAAAGUAUAAGUUACAAUAUUUAUUAUAUUUUUGAGAAAAAUUAUAUAAUUUAUUUGUUAUCAAUACAUUUUAACCUUCAAUUUUCAUUCUAAAAAAUUAUUACUUUUUAAUUGAUGAGUUUUAGAAUUCAUGACAGAUCUAGAGCAGAUUUGGAUUUUAAUUUUUUUUUUCAGAUUUGGAGCAGAUAUAAAUAUUUAUUUCUUUUAUGGAUAUGGAUAUGGAGCGAAAAAUAUAGAUUCAUGAUGGAUCUGGAGCAGAUACGGAUCUUGAUUUUUAUUAUGGAUUUGGAUCUGGAGCAGAGUAGAUCCAACCCAUAUCUGCCCCAUUGCCAUCCCUACGGCUACUGUUAAUCAUAUGUUUUAGUUCUGUAACUUUUAAGUUAUAGUUACCCAAUCUCAAUUCUAAACCAGACCUAUAAAGAUCAAAGAUUUCCUCAUUAAAUUAUAUGUCUUGUGAUUGCUUAUUUAAUUUAUAUUUUUUUUUAUUUAUCUUUAUUAAUUAUAAUCAUCUUUUUAUAAAUUAAAAUUGAAGGAAGUUGAUUGAUGUUGUUGACACACGCACACACGCACACACUCACAAAGAUAUAUUGGAAGUGCUUACGUCGACUCGAAGUUGUUGGGAAUUAAUGCAUGUAUUGAUUUAUUGGGAGUGUUUAAAUGAUUUUUUGAUUUACUUGAUUUAUUGAUUGAAUAUUGUUUGAUUGCUUCAUAUCCAUUCUAGAAAGUUUAUUUCUUUGUGAAAUUUCAACGAAAUAUGUUUUUUUUUUUAAAUAAGGGUGUUCUAAAUAAUUUAAAAAUAUAUAUGGACUAAUUAGAAUUAAUUAUUAGGUAAUUAACUCAAUCUGUAUAGGGUGAAACAACAUUUAUCCUAAUUAUAUCAUGAUAAAUACUUUUCCUAUUAGAAUUAGGAAAUCAUAGGUUUAUUGAAUUGUUUUUUUUUUUCCUUUGCGGAAACGGAUUAGAGAAUUAGAAAACAAUCAUGUUGAUGUCAAAAUCUGAUCUAGUCGGUUAGCGACUUAAUAUCAUAUUACUGCACCAACAUUAAAUUUAUUGGGUGGAGAAUCGACUGGUCAAUUGUCAAGAUGUCCUGCAAUCACUAGCGAUUAACCUACGAAUACCUAAAAUCACAGAAGACGGUAAGAGGCACCGGAAGUUUUUUCGGCGUGAACCUUCCGACGCUCAAGUCAGUUUAUAGGUUUACCAUAAUAAAAAUAAAUAAUUUCUAUUUAAAAAAAAAUAGAGUUCAAAAGCUCAAAAAUAAAACCCAAUCCCAAUAUGAAAAUGAAUUUUUUUUUUUUUUUUUCUAGCUUGGCCGAAUCCUUCUGCCUCCUAAAGAAACAUAACAGAGAAGCAGGUAGCCAUGUUCCCUAGGUAACGCCCCACUCCCCUCUUUUAUUCCUCCCCCUCUCUUCCGUUUCCUUCUUUUGCUCACUAUCCUUCAUAAUUUUUUAUGCUUGUCUUCCCAAAAUAGCCUUUUAAUACACAAGUAAAUGUCUAGGCUUUGGUGAGGAUAGUUUGGUCAUUGCAUUUUACAAGUAAGAUGAGUGGUGGAGAAAAAUGAGGAGUGCACAUAUAACGCUUCAGCAAAUCCCACCAGCAAUUCCAUUUUCUUAAUUAAUUAAUCUCUUCAGCAAAUCCCACCAACUCUUCAGCAAAUCCUAAUGAUAUUAUUAUCAGGUUUAAAACAGUACACAAAUAGUGAAAAGCUAACUAGUCUGUAGAGUAAUUUGCUAAUUGCUAUCUCCUCUCUCCGCGCGCUGAAUAAUUUGUUGCAUGCAAACUUUUUAUUUUAUGCAAAUCGUACGUACUGUAACAUUGGAAUUGAUGUAAAAGCAAAAAUACAAGAAUAUUUAUGUCAAUAAAAAUAGUUUUUUUGGCCUUUUUAAAUAAACACAACGCGAUAUUGCUCUGCUCUACAUUUUUGCUAUCUCUUUAUUCUUCUUUUUUUUUUUGGGCUUCUUAAAGCCUCAAACUUUGAUAACCAAAACUUCAUCGACCUAUGAAAAAAUCUGCAGAUUAGUUUUUAUUAUCGGAAUAAUCAUUUGAGAAUACUAAAACAAAAUAUAAAUAAGAAAAUAGGAGGUUAAAUUAGAGGGGGGAAAAAAGGUAUGUUGGAUAGAUUACUAUAGUUUAAGAAAAAAAAAUCCAAUUGGGAAUUUUUUUCUUUAAUUUUUGUUUUACUUGAUUGAGAUUUCUCCUUGGUCCUUACAGUUUUAAGUUUGGAUGCCGUAGGGUUAGUAAUUUAGUACUUCCUUUGCAAGCUGAGUGCAAGAAUGAAAAUCUUUAAAGAAAUAAAAAAAAAAAAAAAAAGCAUACCAAUAGGUAAUUAUAAAUAACCAUACAUAAACAUAAACAAAAUGAGGUAAUUAUUAAUAUUAUUUUUUGUUUUAUUUCUUACUUGUCUAUUUUAUUUGCUGCUUGAUAACCCGUAAAUACUAAUCUAGUACUGCUAAUUUCAGACACAAAAUUUUUAACUCUAGGCUGCAGUUUUACUCAAAAUGAUGACCACUGGCUUCGCACCAUUUAACCGGCAUACAUUUCUACAAAUUGAACAAGGCUAUUGAUUUUCAUUAUUAUUUUUUAUUUUUUUAUAAAUUACUAUUUUAAUUUUCACUUUUCAUUGGGUUGUUUAACGGAUUAGUGAAGUUGGUGGUCGUGAUGCACUCACAAGGUACAAUUUUAUUUUAUAAUUUCAAAUUUGUAUUUUAAAAUGCAGGUACAUUAUGUAUACAUAAUUAUUGAUUUUCGUAUGUGGGUGUUUUGAAAUAUUGCUAAAAGACCAAACUUUAAUAAACUAUUUUUCAUCUUUUUUUUUUCCUAAAGUUUAAGUGAUAUCCGCAUUUUAAAUUCAUGUGGAACAAAAGCUAAUGUAUGCACAAAAUCCUUUUAUUUUUUCCGAGAAAAAUGGUUAAGAGAAGAAGAUUUUUCUCUUGAAAAAGAAAAACUAAUACGAUGCAAGCAUAGGAAAGAGGUCAGUGUUUUGGAUUAGAAUUUAGUAUUGAGCUGAAUUUUAUACUAAACUCUUUUAUAGUACUGCGAUUAAUAAACUCAUGAUUUGCUUUUGCUUUUACCUCAAGUGAAAGAAAGAGGAAACCUUUUGUUUUUUGUUUGAUUCUUGACUAUAGGUGUUACCUAUAUAGAGAGUUGAGGUAGCUGCCUUAAGUGAUGGUGAUAAAAAGAUUAAGCAGCGCACACAAUCUUACUGUCGUCCAGACCAUCCAGCUGUGAUGACUCUUGUUUUUUGGUUACAUUAGCUUUAGUGGAACGGAGGGCCAAUUUAACAAAGACUAGAUUUGGUGGCUUACUAUAAUGCUUAUUCUCAGGGAAUCUAAUGUUAUAAGAUGAUUUAAUGAUCUUCUAUGAUUGUGAGUAGUAUAGUAUAAUUGAAAAGAGCUUGGGCUCCUAUGAUGAAUAUUUAAUAGUAACACAGUACUGUUAUUGAAAAAAACACAGUUACAAUAAACUCUUCAUUUAUUCAUUGUGGAGAUUGAAUGGCAAACAGAGAAUAAAAUGAAGCAGAGGAAUCUCAUUGCCAGUAAAAUUGACCCUCUUUAAUGUUAUAUGGCACAGGUGUGUGUACAGCAAGAUCAAGUUACUUGCAGUUUUUAUUGUAAAAUAUAUAGGUUAUGACCAUGAUCAUUGUAGUUAGGUUUUGAUGAUUUUAGAUGCUUUUUUUAUUUUUUUUAAAAUUGUGACACCUUUGAUUUAUGGUAGUUUUGCAGAAGAAAAAAAUAUAUAUAAAAAUUAGGAGGGAUGAGUUAACUAACGAUUGCAAUCAUUACAGUAAUGUUGAUGAGUGAUACAUCAUUUGAAAUUUACUUGUCAGUUGCUGAAAUGAUGAAAAAAAACAGUAAACAAUAGCAGUAAUAUUUUUUGGCAAUAUAAAAAAUUAUUGCGGUUAUUUUUUGGCAAUAUAAAAAAAUUUUAGCAAAUAAAAAUUAAUUUUUUUCCGAUUAACUAAAAAAUUAAUUAAAAACUUCUGCGAUGGCAUUUUUUAUGGGUGCAUAUACCCUCCCUUUAAAAGAAAAAAUAAUAAUUAAUACUUAAUAUAGUAUUAAAUACGAAAAUAUCAAUAUUUGACUACACAAAUUUAAUAGUCUUGUGUAAUUAGUGAGUGAGAGAUUGGGUGUAUUGGAGUUUUGGGUAGUGAGCCAAAAUAUUACAAUACUUGUAAUCUUUAUUUCACUAGUGAAAUAUUUUCCUUCUGUUUUUGCCCGUGGACGUAGGCUAAAAGCCGAACCACGUAAUUUCUGGUGUCCUCUAUUGUACUUGUUCUUUAUUUGCUUCCAAUUUUAUUUUAACUGCGCGUCUGCUUCACCCAUCAAUUUCCUAACAAAUCUUGAUCCCAUGCACACGCAAAUAUGUUAAUUUCUAUACGCUUCACUUACCUGUAGAAUCAAUUAUCUAAAAUGCAAGUUUGUGGCCACAAAAAAAGCCAAAGAAAGAAGAUAAUAACAAUUGACUUGUAUAUUAUACUCAUACAAUCCACUCGACAUAAUGAUAUCAUUUUAAUAAGGCAAUGGCUGAUGAUCUCCAUUGAAAAACUAAUUCAAUUUUUUUGCUUCAUUUAACUUUUUGGUUGUUGAAAAUAACCUUAAUUAUCAAAUAAUUGGAGAAAGAGUAAAGAACAUUUAACAAAUUUAUGUGCAAAAAAAAAAAAAAAGAAGUUGAAGAGAAAGGGUGCUUGCAGAAGUGGGUGUCAAAGAAACAUCGGUCCAUAAGAAUUAUUGCGGUUAUUUUUUGGCAAUAUAAAAUAUUUAUAGCAAGUAAAAAUUAAAUUUUUUCCGAUUUACUAAAAAAUUAACUAAAAACUUCUGCCACAACAUUUUUUAUGGGUACAUAUACCCUCCCUUUAAAAAAAAAAUAAUAAUUAAUGCUUAAUAUAGUAUUAAAUACCAAAAUAUCAAUAUUUGGCUACUCAAAUUUAUAUCAUUAGGUCCUUAAAAUUAAAAAUUGAUGAUACAAAAGGAAAUAUAUAUAAAUUUCAUUCUCAUGGAAAGGAUUCUCUUAUAAUCUUAUAAUAUUUGAGUUUUGAAAUUUUUUGAAGCAAAUGUAAUUUUAUUUGUGUACAAUCAAUAUUUACUUAUUUAUUAUAUUUUAAUUUGUUAACUAUCAAUCAUUUAAGUAUAUUUAGUCAGAAAAAUUAUAUCAAGAGAGAAUCCUAAUUUCACGCAAACACAAAUACAAGAUAAAUAUGUCAAUUUCUAUACUAUCCACUUUCCUGUAGAAUCAAUUAUCUAAAAUGCAAGUUUGUGGCUACCGAAAACUCGCCAAAGAAAGAAGAUAAUAACAAUUGAGCAUUGAUAGCAAAACUAAUGCAUCAUUUUCUUCUUGACUUGAUGAGAUGGUGCCAUUACAAAAAAAAAAGUACCUUAAUUGACGGGCACUGAGUGAUGUGAAUACUACCAGCCAGUUCAUCUCUUCCAGUCUUGCUUAAUCACAAUCACAAACACCACGAGAUUGACAUUUGCAUUAUAUAUAUCUUCAGCAAUCGAAACACCUUGCAUUACCAAAUUAACCGGUAACAAACAAAGCAAUCUUUCAUGGAGAGAAACUUUAGUCUCAGUAUGAUCACUUUGUCAUUAACCCACUACCUGCUUCUUUGCUUGGUUGUUGCAGCAGCAGCAGCCGCAAGCAACAAUAUUACCACAGACCAACAAGCUCUUCUUGCCCUGAAAGAUCAUAUAACUUAUGAUCCAACCAACCUUUUUGCCCAUAAUUGGACCUCGAAUACCUCUGUUUGUACCUGGAUUGGCAUCACUUGUGAUGUCAAUAGCCAUAGAGUCACAGCCUUAGAUAUUUCUCAAUUCAAUCUACAAGGCACCAUCCCUCCUCAACUUGGAAACCUUUCUUCACUUACAACGCUUAAUCUUAGUCAUAACAAGCUUUCUGGAGACGUUCCAUCCUCCAUCUACACCAUGCAUUCGCUAAAAUUUCUUGACUUCACUGAUAACCAGCUCUCUGGUUCAGUGUCUUCCUUCGUCUUCAACAUGUCUUCAAUAUUAGAAAUUCUUUUGACCAAUAACAGAUUUUCUGGUGAGCUUCCGAAAAAUAUUUGCAACUAUCUUCCUUAUUUGAAAGCCCUUUUCUUAAACAAAAACAUGUUUCAUGGCAAAAUUCCUUCUGCUUUAUCAAAGUGCAAACAACUGCAAAAAUUAAAUUUGCAGUUCAAUAAUUUAUCCGGUGCAAUACCGAAAGAAAUCGGCAACUUGACUAUGCUCAAAGGCAUAUAUCUCGAAUACAACAAACUCCACGGUAUGUUCAUAAUACUAUGUAAAUGUUU
Molecule: long non-coding RNA, 57008 nt
Filed under: Citrus maxima (pomelo)
Lineage: Eukaryota; Viridiplantae; Streptophyta; Magnoliopsida; Sapindales; Rutaceae
Description: long non-coding RNA (CMAX_LNC003928)
Source: RNAcentral